Molecule: long non-coding RNA, 64578 nt
Filed under: Eucalyptus grandis
Lineage: Eukaryota; Viridiplantae; Streptophyta; Magnoliopsida; Myrtales; Myrtaceae
Description: long non-coding RNA (EGRA_LNC002639)
Source: RNAcentral
AUACUUAACAUCUCUCUUGAUGAGCCUCUCCAGAGCUUCAUUGGCAUAAUCAAUCGGUAUCACUUCAAUAUUUGGGUAUAUCUUCUGCGCUGCACAUAGGUCUAUCAUUUCUUGGGUAUCCUUUGUUCCUCCCGUUAGGCUACCUGAAACAGUUCUCAUAUCUGCCAAACGUUCACCACGAGCAACUUAGUUCACCUAUCAGGUAUGAAAUUUCAUUUAGUAAUCAGAUUUGAGAACAAAAACAUACGGUGGUUAAGGCUGGCUGGACUAAAUUUAACUUCGCUCGAGCCGACCAAUGCUAGAAUGCCACCCGUCUUCAAAACAGACAUGUAAGGAUCAAAUGGGUGAUUGCCGGCUGCCGUGUCGAUUAUAAAGUCUAGGGACUUAGCAAUGGCCUGCGUGCAUUGGAUUUAUCAGAUCACAACAGAAUUUGACCACCAUGGAUCUCAAUGUGGAUAAUUCUAGUUUUUCCUUUUUUUACCUUCAUCUGCUCUACGUCAGAUGAGAUAACGAAAUGGUCAGCCCCAAGCAGGCUCAGUGCUUCCUCCUUUUUAGAAAUGCUUGUACUGAACACUGUGACUUUUAGUCCAAAAGCCUUCCCAAACUUAACUGCCAUAUGACCGAGCCCGCCAAGUCCAAUUACACCUAGAGACUUACCGGGUUGGUUCAUCUUGUGACGUAUCAUUGGAGUGUACACCGUGAUUCCAGCACAGAGCAGUGGCGCUGCUAGAUCCAUCGGGUAGUUUUCUGGAAUCCUGAAGCAAUACCUGUCAAUGAAGCACCACAAUUAAGUUUCCAAAUAACACCAAGAGAGGAAGUGAUUUCCCAAUAGAAUCAGCAUCCUGUCUUUUUUGUCUAAAAGGAAUCAAAUCACAGAGCCAGAAAUCCUAUCUUCCGCAUGCUUGGGAAUGUUACUUGCUUAGACCACAAUUCAGCAUCAUGUUGUUUCCGUGAUCCUUGUUCUGACCACAAAUUGCUCAAGACAAACAUUUCUUGCUGUAGCAACGAAAAUAACUCGAUUAAAAUUAAGAAAAGACACUUGCUCUAAGAAAGGAAACUGGUGGCAUAUCACAUAUGCUUGACUGAACACGUAAUUUCUCUAUUUCUUUCAAUCAAUUCCUCCGAAGGACUCAAGAUUCCUGUGGCUCUAUCAGAUACAAGAAUUAGUGAAAGCACAUACAUUUAGCUACCCAUUUGAUCUUAUACUUAUGAUCUAACUUUAACAAUCUAAGGACAGCUUAUUCCAUUCUUGACAAUGGUUAUUGAAAAGAAAGAAUUUCUUUUUGCAUUUAAUAAAGCCAAUUCUCCAUUGAAUGGUCUGAAUGGUAAUUGGAUACAGAGGACUUAAAGACCCUCCAGAGCCGUUAUAGAAAGUAUCUUUAUCCUUUUCCACAAGAUGCAUUAUGCUACUUCUGGUCACAAUCAGAAUACGAAGAAAAUUAGCAGAGAAGAAGACAUGACAUGAAAUCUUUUUUUGGCCACCAUGAUUUGAAAUUCUUUCACAGUGCAAAAUGCUGCCUAAUAACAUUGUGUUAAUAAGCAAUUACCUUUCAUGGACGACAAUGUGACUAGAAUAUCCUCCCUUUGUCACUGUACCGUCCGUAUCGAUUCGGUCAAAAGUCAAAACCAUCUUUUCACAAUGGACUUCUAGCCCGUCAUUGCAAUACUCGCACUCUCUGCAUGAAUUGACAUAAGUUCCCACACCCACAUGAUCGCCAACUUUGAAGCGUUGGACACUGGAGCCAACCUGUUUCACAAUUCCAACUAUCUCGUGCCUGAAUCAAUCAAAAAAGUCAUUCGCAAAUUUUGUUCAGAGAAUUAUUAGGAUGGUGCUAAGAAAAAAGAUUAACAUUCGAAUCACGCUGCAUCCUACCCUGGCACCAGAGGAUACUUGGAGGUUCCCGACAUAUUCCUAGUCCAAGCCACAUCUGCAUAGCACACUCCGCAGUGCGUGAUCCUAAUCGAGACGUCAUCGCUUCCCACGGUCCUAAAGAGAGAAUUCCCAAACAGAUGAGCAUCUAAUCAAGCAACUAAUCAGACUCAGUUACCUUUUGUUCUCAUUUUUCAGAUCAAUAAACUAAGCGUGACUUACAAUAAUCAUACAUUCAACCCAAAAAAAAAUUUAAGAAAAGAGAAAUGAAAAGGAACCAAAUCCAUGACUAUAGGCAUUUGUCUGAAUAGUACAUACAACCUCAAAUGCUCACAAAGGCAGCACCCGAAUCCUAAUGUCUGCCAUGAAGUUCUAAGCAACUCAUUCUGGGACAUGACAUAUCAUGCGUACAAACAAUUCUCUACCCAGAAAUUAGUGCAUACACAACAAAAUUUAUAAAAGAAAAACGAAAUGGUUUGGUCAAUGUGGAAAUUUAAAUAUAUGACAAGCAUCAAAAACUGUUUUGCAUUACAGGUGAGAGGAUAAGACCUGAGAACACUGUAUUGAGACUUAUUCAGACAAAUACUUCAAUAGAAAUUGAAAGUAUAAGGAGCAGAUGAAUUAAAUAAAGAACAGUGGUAACAGUAAUACCUGCGGCUGAAUUUGUAGGGGGAGAGACGUCCAGAAGGAUCUCUGGCAGCCCAACCAAGACAAUCUUCCUUCGCACCCUCUGAACUCAUCGUUCCUCACCGACCUCAACUGAAAUCGACCCACAAAAAAAUUGCUGUGUUAAUCUCUCAAUAAGCUGAAUUAUGGAAGAAGAAGAAGAAUUAUUUUCGUGAAAGAGAAAUGAAGAGAAAAUCAAACCGGAAAACAGAAGUUCAAAUGGUCAAAAGGCCAAAUGUCACGAAGACUUGGCAAUUCCGUUUCCGUGCAGACAAGAUUUUGCGGUCUGACUUUUGAGCAAAGAGCGAGAUUAGCAGAGAGCGAGGUUGAGCGCUCAAAAACCGUCACCUCUUUAUAGAUGCCAUAGCGUCGCCUGUUCUUGAUUUUUUUUUUCGUUUUAUCUUGUGGAAAAGAAUUAGUGCCAAACGUAAGCCAUUACCCUUCACUAGCCAAUGAAGUAUGCAGUGACGUCUUCUGGAGUACGGUUCUUGGUAUUUUUAUUUAUCCUCCCAAUAACAAUUGCAUUAUUAAUUUAUUCACACAUUAAAUAUGUCAAUAGGCAACAUGUUGACGCAUAAAAUAUGUCAUGAUCCUCUAGUGGUAUGUAUUCGAUUCAUCUAUUUUAAGAAUAUUCACCUUCAUCUAUUUUAAGAAUAUUCACCUUCUUCAAAGAUAGUGUUAGUAUAUGCGGAAACAUGUGUUUGAUAUGUAUGCAAGCAAAAGAACUAAGGGACAAUGUGAGCAAGAAAUAGUGGGACAAAGUAAUAAUAGGAAUGUGUAAAAGAGAAUGAGGCUGAGGCGGUGAAGGAGAGAAACUUGAAUGGAAGUCAACAAUAGUGGCUGAAGAAGAAACUAGUAUGUGGACAGCAAGAGUACUUGGAGAAGAAGAAAAUGAGUUGUCAGCUGUACUAUGGCCUAUGGCGGUGAAAAAGUCAAAAAUGUCAUGCUUGAAGUCGGUUGUAAUUGCCUAUAAAUAGGCUUGUCGUUCAUUUAUUUGGUGUGUGUGAGGUGAACCCUUCACCUUGUGUGGGGGUGAACCCUCCACUGUGAGAGGUCUUAAACCUCCGCUAGGACCAUAUGGAGAGUGACUAUUCAACACCUCCAUCAAAUUAUUUUGUCUUCUUCAAUAAGUUCUUGACAGCUGGAGUUUGAUGAAGAAACUUUGCUUCAUGCUUUCCGCUACUUGCUAUUUCCGAUGCACGUAGACUUCUCUAGCCUAUUCUAGGAUUUCUUCUUCAACUUGGGGUUUGCUUGCUUGUAUUCCCAUGUGAAUCUUCUAGGUUCAGCUAGCAACCACCAUUCUCAACAAUUCUAGACAAUCUUCAACAUGGAUGUUGCUACCAACGUUCUCGCCUUCAUGAUUAAGUUAAUAGUUUCUAAACAGUUUUAGAGAAAAUGGAUCAUAAUUUUCAACAUAUAGUAUUUUGGAGAGAAAAGUAUUUCAGCAGAAUUGUUCAAGGAUUUACAGAUCACUACAAUAUCACCGGAAGCAAAUAAUUAUCCAUCAUUGACAUGAACGAUAUAGCAAAAAUUCUUUUACUUGUUUACCUUAAGUUUAGCAAGAUCUGCUUAAACGACAACCUUGAGUAUCUUCAAUUCCCUUUCUCUUGCCUUCAAAAAGAUAUUGAAAUGCAACGCAGAAUCAAGACAGAUUGUCAUUAACAAAGCUGUAAAAGCCUACUCAAUCUGGCAAAAUUGGGGACAGUGUUUUCCAGCGAUCUUGACUACCUCGGUAGCUGCUGUGCAAAUGGAUAGGAAUGCAUGCAGAGGGACAAGCUGAUUGUUACCUACUUUUAGUCAUUCAUUUGAAACUGUAAGAUUCAUGUGCCAUAAGAUAGCCAAACAAGCGGGCAAAAAAUGAUGUGCCUUGCACCGAAGGUGGCAAGAGCAAUUAGAUUAAAUUCAAACCAAAAAAAGCUUGAUGCAUAAAAUGAAAAGUCAUCCAUUGAGCAAAAAAGGGUGCGUUUGGUAAGGUUUCUGUUUAAAAAUUGUUUCUGGGAACAUAAAUAAAAAAAAGUGUUUCUGUUCCAAGGAACAAGUUUUGAACAAAAAAACGCAUUUGGUAAAUCUGUUCUAGAAAUAUAAAAAAAAUAGAAACACGUUUGGUAAGUUUGUAUAUUUUUUUUUAUUUCUUUUAAUUUUUAAUAUUUUUAUUUUUAUUUUCUAUUUUCUUUCUUAUUUUUCUUAUUUAUUUUUCCUUUUUUUCUUAUUUAUUUUUCCUUUUUCCUUUUUUCUUCUUUUGGCCGGUCGCCGGCCUCGGCCAUGGCCGACGACCAGCCGACAAGGGCCGGCGGCCUCACCCAGCCAUGGCGAGGCUCGCCGGCCGCUGGGCGAGCUCGGCCUCGCUAGAUCUGGGCGAGAUCGAGCUCGCCCAGCCAGGCGCGAGGUCGGCCUCGCCGCGCUGUGCCGACGGUGACCCAGAGCCACACCAUCGUCUCCCUCCACCGCAUCGGUGACCGCGCUCGACGCCUCCUCGCCGCCACCGGAUCGGCGACCACCCCUCCGCCUCACGCCCGAUUGACGCAUCUGCAGGUCUCGAGCCUUCGUUCACCACCGCCACAUCAGAUCUCACCACGCCGUGACCCACGGCUUCGAGAUCCGCUCGAUCGUCGACCCCGCGCCGGCCCACGACUCGACCGGCCGUCCUCGCCGCUCCGCUCCUAGACGUCCGCCGCUCGAGACCCCACGGCCGAGCCCCGCACCGCAGCCGCCGCCGCCGCCCAGCGACCCGCGACCCAGCUCCGUCACCCGCUCACAGGUGGAGAUGCUCGCAGCGGCUGUCGGCGCCGGAGAGGACGACGGUGGAGAAGCCGGAUGGUCUCGAGACAGAGGCGGCUGUCGGCGCCGGAGAAGACGACGGUGGAGACACUUGCAGAAGGAGAGGCUCGCAGGAGAACACGAUUUUGUUUCUUUUUUGUUCUUCAAAUAUGUUUCAGAAAUAAGAAAUAAGAAAUUCUUGUUUCUUAUUUUUGUUUGUUUCUUAUUUUUGUUCCCUUUUUGUUUCUAGGAACAAAAAAACAAAAAAGAAACAGAAAUGCACCCAAACGCGUUUCUGUUCCUUUUUUGUUCCCAGAAACAAAAAAAUAGAAAUUUUUGUUCGUGGGAACAGAAACACGGUGCAAACAAACGCGCCCUAAAUGACAAAGUAAGUGCAAUGAGAGUCAUUGAUGUUCACGCCAAACGUAUGCCAUGACCAUUCCUUAGCCGAGAGAAUGUAAGCAGCGACAUCUUCUAGAUAGUGGUUACUGGCAAUUUUUUUUUUUUUUAUCCCCGGCCUGAUCAAAUUAUCCGAGUUAUAAACUCAGAAAGAAGUUAAUGAGCAAUCUACCGCUAGGACCUAUGAAGGGUCAUAUGUUGUUGGUUACACAUCGUGUUGGAAUAUAAUAUACGGAAAUGAAAAGAUCUUGCAAUUUACGUCAACGUGCAAACUCCAGAAAAAUAAAUGAGAAAUAAUAAGAACACCAUAACUUUACGUGAUUCGGUCCGAGUAUUAGUACCUACAUUCACGGGAGAGUUAGCAACAAAUAACCCACUAUAAUAAAAAAAUCAGAGUUUACAAUCGCUCACAUGCUUGAGUAUUUUCUACACCUAGAUUUCAACUCAAGAGUUUAUAAAUAAACAACUCAUUUUAACAUAAAUUCACGACAUAAAAUUACCACUCGUUCAAAAACAAAAUGCUCUACGUACGCCAAAAACAAGAAUUCCAGCAUUUAUCUUUUGGUUCGCGUAGAUACGGAUUUGUGUUCUUCUUUGCUUGAUCGUGCGGCGCUAUUCUAGACGUUCCUUUUGGCUCUUUCUUCUUCGUAGGGCUUCAGUAACUUUUUCUAUAAAAAAAAAAAAGGACGUUCUAUUUUAUAUAUGUGCCUAGAGUCAACAACUUUGACUCUGGGCCCACCAUGUGCUUCUUUCUUCAGUGGGAAGUGGGACGCUGCAGGUAAGGCGAAGAAACCUUCCUUUUAUUCAUUUUUCUUCAUAUUUCCUUUAUUUUAUGGGAUAUGUUUGGCAGAAGUCCUAAAACUUGUCCAGAAAGUGCAAUUGAGUCCUAAAACUUACAAAAAGUUCAAUCAAGUCCUAAAACUUGUCAAAUUGGUUCAAUUGAGUCCUAAAGUUAACACCGUUAAGAAAAUUAACAGAAAUUGCUGACGUGGCGCUGACGUCAUAUUUUAAAUGAUCUUUUUUAUUUUUCAAAUAGCUUUUUUAAAUUAUUUUUAUUCAAAAUCUUUAAAAAUUAGAUUAAAAACUAAAAAGGAAAAUCUAAAUUUAUUAAAAAAACAAAAUUGUUCAAAAAAAAAAAAAGAAAAAAGGGCGGUGGACUUUCGCCGCUGCCCAUCGCCGAAGGGGCCGGCGAUCGUCGCCGGCCCUGGGCGGGGGCGAUGGUCGCCAUCCCUUGCCUGGGGCCGAGCAACCGUCGCCCGCCUUGGGCGAGGCCUCGUCGGCCCUCGCUUGGGGUCGGCGAGGCUCGCUAGAUCUGGGCGAGCCUCGCCCUCGCCAGCCACCCCUGCCCAGGGCCGACAACUGUCGCUCGGCCCCUUCGGCGAUGGGCGGCGGCGGCGGCGGCGGCGGCAGCGGCGGCGGGGAGAAGAGGGCUGCUUUUUUUUAAAACAAUUUUAAAAAUAACUUUUAUAACUUUUCUUUUUAAUUUUUAGAUAAAAUGAAUAAAUUUAAUUUUUUAGUUUUAAUUCUUUUUUUAAAAAUGAAUAAAAAUCAUUAAAAAAAUCCACGUGGAAAAUAAAAAAUAAUUAAAAAUGAUACGUCAGCAUUUUUAACAGAAAAAGCUAACGGUGUUAACUUUAGGACUUAAUUGAACUAACUUGACAAGUUUUAGGACUUGAUUGAACUUUUUGUAAUUUUAGGACUCAAUUGCACUUUUUGGACAAGUUUUAGGACUUCUGCUGAACAUAUCCCUUAUUUUAUAUAUGUUGUGUGCCUAAAGUCAAGACUUUUGACUUUGGGCCCACAUAAAUAACCUUGUUUGGCUCCCGUAGAUAAAGAAGAAACUUUGUUCUUUUUAUUAUUAUUAUAUUUUCUUUCCUCUUUCGUAAACCUUCACAAAGUCCAACAAAGCUUCUUCUAUUGAUCGAAACAAUCAAAGACCCAAAAAGAAUUUCGAAUUUAUUUUCUUGUGCAUAAUCUUGAAUAUUAUCUUUAUCAGAAAAAUAUCUUCACGAUCAAAUAAUAAAAUUUUUAUCCAAGCGGAUCGCAUUUUGCAAAUACUCAAACUCGAGACAUAAUUUAACACAUCCGACAUGAUAUACUGCCCAAUUACUAUCCUCUGACAAUUUAUAUUUGAUUAAUCUAAUUCAAGAAUAUUCAUUUGUUAGACUUGUUGGCUUACACGCCACUGUCACGUGAUAUAUCCUAUAUUGAGAAUACUCAAUGAGCUUUGACUCUAGAUACUUGGGAGCAUCUAUGCUUGUUUUAUGUAUGUUAUGCUUGUGAUGCAUCUUGUUUUGAGUGGACUGUAGAAAUAUUUAAGUUCGUGCCAAUUUGACUAAUUUUUUAUCUGGAUAAGUGCAUUGGAAGAUUUAAAACUUAUCAUAAAAAUACAAUUAAGCCAUGAAACUUUGAAAUCAAGUUCUAGAACUUGUCACAUUGGUCUAAUCUAAAUCCUACCAUUGCAUUUUUGAAAAUUUCGGUACUUAACUGCAAUUUUCUAACAAGUUUUAGUAUUUCCAAUAUACUUUUUUUUUUUCAACCUCAGUAAUGUUUUUAAGCAACAAUGAGCUUGACAUAUCUCUGUUUUCGGAAUUUCAGUGGCUAUAGGAAACAAAAGGACGUCCUCUAAUGAAUCAACAAUCUUCUGCCAUGACAAAGCUGGAAGAGAGAUGAGUGUCUUCCAUAGUUAUAAAAAAUGUUCAUGCAAUAAUCUGUAGGAAUUCGUCUUCCUGACGUGCAUGAACAUUUCCGGCCAUGAAACAUUUCACGGUGAAGACAUUCUGUCACUUAAACCGGCAAAAGGAUAUCGAGCUUGUUCUUUUGGCGAGUGUAUUGCCGUCAAAUAUGCCUGAUUAAUUCCACGACUAUUAGCAUUUGUUUAAAUAGAGCAUACAACCUAAAAUGCUCACAAAGGUAGCUGGUACUGGAUCCUCAUGUCUGCCCAUGAAAUUCUGAGUGCCUCAGACAUGGCAUAUCAGGCACACAAACAAUUCUCAACCCAGAAAUUAGUACGUACACAACAAAAGUUUAAAAAAAAAAAAAUUGGUUUGGUUAAUGUGGAAAUUUAACAUCAUGACAAGCAUAAAAAACUGUUCAGCAGUACAGUAGAGAGGUCAAGACCUGAGAACACUGUAUUGAGACUUAUUCAGAUGAACACUUCAGAUAGUCACUGAAAAGCUAAGGAGCAGAUGAAUUGAAUAAAGAACAAUGGCGAUGAUAAUACCUGCGGCUGAAUUUGUAGGGGGAGAGAAGUCCUAGAAACCGUCAUAGAUGCCAUAGCGAUGGAUGUUCACGAUUAAUCUUUGAGCUUACUAUUGUGGAAAAGUAUUAGUGAUUCGCCAAACGUAACCCAUGACCCUUCCUUAACCAAAGAACGCAUGCAAUGACAUCUUCUGGAGAGCGGCUCCUGGAAUUUUUCCAUCCACAACCUAAUUGCAUUAUCAACCUACUGACACAUAAAAGAUGUCAAUAGGCAAUGUGCUGUUGCACCACUGGACCCGCAAAUGGUCAUCAAUGUCGGUUAUACCGCCAAUAAUUUGUACCUGACCCUUCAUAGUCGUAUUAUUCGAUUAAUCUAUUUAAAGAACAUUCAUUUUCUUCAAACAUGCUUUCUCACGUGCCACUGUAAUAUGAUGUUUUUGAUACACAAAAUACUAUCUCUUCAAGAGCUUUGACUCCUAUAUACUUGGGACAUUAAAUUGUUUUAGCAACAAUGAGCUUGGGAUAUCUCUGUUUUCGGGAUUUCAGUUGCUAAGGGAAACAAAAAGGACGUCCUCUAAUGAAUCGACGGUAUUUUGCUAUAACAAACCUGGAAGAGAGAUGAGCGUCUUACAUAAUUACAAAAAAAUGAUCACGCAAUAGUUGGUAGAAAUUUACUCUGCUGACGUGCAUGAACAUUCUGAACAAAAAACGGAAAACAUGCAUGAACAUUUCCGGCCAGGAAGCAUUCACGAGGAGCUGAGAGACACUCUAUUUCUUAAAGCAGCAAAAUGAUUACGAGCUUGUUCUUUUGGUGAGUGGAAUGAAUAAAUUGUUCAAAAAAUCCUAAACUUAUUGUCCGACCACUAAUUUAAUUCUAAACGUUUUAAUUUGAUCAAUGUUGUCUAAAACUUUUGACAAUUUUUUGUAGUCCACCUAGUUAAAUUUAGGUCGAAAAUCAGUGAUGAAGCAAUUUAGUAAACACUAGCUGUUUUAAGUGAUACAACCGAUAGCUGAUAUAGAUGAUCUUAAAUGAUGUGGCGUCGUUUCACAAUUUUUUAAUAUUCUUUCUUUUUCUUUUUUAGUAAUUUUUUUUCCUAUUCUUUCGUUCUCUAGUGUUCAUUUUCUUCCCUCUGCCGGUGGCCGAUGCCUCAGCAAUGACCGGCGACCAUCAUAGGCUACAAGUGAGGGCAUUGAGCGAGACUUGCAAGCCUUCUCCUAGAUUUGGGCAAGGGCCCUAUAGGCCCUCAUUGGCCGUAGGCAAGGUUGGGGACUUGCAAGCCCUUGCCUAGAUCUACCCUCUAAUGGGGUCAAUGCCUGCCAUCACCAAAGCCUCAAUGUCUUGCUCUGGAAAGAAAAUGAACAGCAGAGAAGGAGACAAUAGGAAAAGAAAGAAAAAAGAAAAAGAGAGGAAAGGAAAAAGGGAAAAAAUCUGAAAAUAAUAACAAAAAAUUGCAAAAUGACGUUGUUUCAUUUAAGAUCAUCCAUGUCAAUUGCCAAUCAUGCAACGUGGCCUACCUUGUUGGAUGUAGUAGAUUUAGGAUAUUUUGAAUAUUUUUCUCCUAUUAAAUAUGCCCGGUUUAUUUGAUAUCCUAAAAUUUGUCAACUUUGUGAAAUCAAGUUCUAAAAUUUGUUGGCACUCUUUUCAUAUUGGAUGAAGUUAAUGAAAUGACUUGAUUACAACUACUUGGUAAGUUUUAUGACUUGAUUGUAAUUUUUGAAAAUUGUCGGACUCAAUUGCAUCUCUAUAAUAAGUUUUAAAACUUGAUUACGCUAUCUAAAAAUUUUAAGAUUUUCAAUAUACUUAUCCCUAAAAUAAAAUAAAAAGGGCCUACCCCCUUUACAUGAACUCUUUAAUUUAAACGCACCAUGGAAUUUCCUGUCCUUUUACACAAUUUCAUUAACUAAGAUUUUAUUUUAUUUUUUGGGUUAAAACCAAGAUUUAGUUCUUCUUCUUCUUUUUUUUCGGACCAGCCAAGAUUUAGUUCAAAGAUAGAUAUUUUGAGGAGAAAAAAAUUUCAGCAAACUAUGCAAGGAUUUGCAAAAGAUCGCAACAAUAUUACCGGAAGCAUAUAAUUAUUUAUCACUGACGAAUGAUAUAGUAAAAAUUCUUUUAGAAGUUUACCUUAAGUUUAGCAAGAUCUGCUUAUUCGGCAGCCUUGAGUUUCUUCGAUUCCUUCUCUCUUGCCUUCAAACAGAUAUAGAAAUGGCAACGCAGAAUAUCAAGAUAGAUUGCCAUUGACAAAGCUGUAAAAGCCUACUCAAUCGAGCAAAACUGGGACAGUUUUUCCAGCAAUCUUGACCACCUCCGUAGCAUGCCGUGGAAAUAGAUAGGAACACAUGUAGAGGGACAAGCUGAUUAUCACUUGCUUUUAGUCAAGCAUUCGAAACUUUGAGAUUCAUGCACUAUAAGAUAGCUAGACAAGCAAAAAAAAUGAUGGGCAUUUCAGUUGAGGUGUCAAGAGCAAUUAGAUUGAAUUCAAACCAAAUAAAGCUUGACGCAGAAAAGAGAAAUGUUGUGCAUUGAGCGAAUAUAUGACAAAAUAAGUGCAAAGAGAGUCAAUGAUGUUCUAGCGCUUUGGCCAAUUGAGUUCUUAAAAUUUUACUUUGCUUAAUUGAAUCCUCGGCCUUUUCAAUUUCAGUCAAUUGAGUCCCUCAACCUUGAUCCUCGGAAAUAGUCACAUGGCUAUGAUUUUCCAAGUUGAUAAGAAGAUGCUCGAGAAGAAAACCGGGUAGGAGGUGAAAUGGGACCUAAGUGCAAGUUUUACUAUUUCAGUAACUACAAUUGAUCUGACAGAAGGUUGAACUUUCAUGGAUCUGGCACUUCGUUUGAAGCUAUACAAACAGAAAUCAGCGGGCUCAAGAAGCCAAUCUUUUAGACAGUUUCUGAAUUAUCACACAGAAAAGCACUAGGAUAUCUUUACACAUUCACUUAUUAUAUCCUCUAUAAACUAACAGUUAUUAGAGUAUAUUAGGCAUCAUUUAUUUGUAGUACAUUAGGUACAGAUGUCCUCUCUCUGAAAUUCCCUCUUUUCCUCUUCUUACGAUUAGCUUUGCCAGAAGAUGUUUCCAACUUCCGACAUUGAUGAUGUCAUUUCAAGGAGUUCUCAAUGUUUAUCACAAAUCGGUACUUAACAUCUCUCUUGAUGAGCCCCUCAAGGGCUUCAUUGGCAUAAUCGAUCAGUAUCACUUCGAUUUCUUGGUGUAUGUGCUGUGGCGCACAGAGGUCUAUCAUUUCUUGGAUAUACUUCAUUCCUCCAGUAGCGCUACCCAAAACUGUUUUCAUACCUGCAAAAAGUUCAUUGUGAGCAACUUAGUUGGCUUGCCUAUCAGGUAUCAAUAUUUCAUUCGGUAAUGAGCUUUGAGAAUAAAAACAUACCAAGGUUAAGGGAGGAAGUACACUAAUGGUGCCAUAAGUUAUGUACGGCGCUCACUUUGGUGUCAAAAAUUUUUGUCGGAUCACUUAAGUGCCAAAAAUUUUGAAAAACGAUCACUUUGGUGCCAUCGUCGAUUUGGUUGGUCGGAAAUCUGACGUGACAAUUUUUUAUUAAUUUUUUAUGCCGACGUGGAUCGUCGGAUAAUACAAUCAACAAACAAAGAACAAAACGAUGCCGUUUACCAUUUUCCCCCAAAUAAAAACCCCUAAAUCCCUAAUUUCGACUAGAACUGGAAGUUGAAAACCCUAAAUCCCCAAUUCGACCAUUUCGAGUGCAUAUUUCGAUUUUCUGCCAAAGUUAUCAACUUGCUUUUGCAAAUGGAGGACAAAAGUUUCAACAGUGGCUCGCAUUCCUAUAAGAAAAGCGAAUUAGAUGGUGAGUGUUACUGUUAUUGUGGGUUACCGAGUCCGAGAAGAAUAUCUUGGACUUGGUUGAAUCCCGGGAGAAGAUUCCAUGGGUGCGGCAGAUAUAGAGAAAGCUCGAAGUGCCAUUAUUUCAAAUGGGUUGAUAGGAAAUUCUCUAAUCGAGCGACAUAUGUGAUAUUGGAGUUACUUGAAGGCCAAAAUCAACCUCCAUCUAUGUUAAUGGACGAGCUGGGGGAUGUCGACUCAAUACAAGCUCAAAUGAAGGGUUUAACAUCUCUGAUGGACCAUUUGAAGAGAGAGGUUUCAAGGCUGAAAAUUGAAAGAAACUUUAUCGAGCGUUGAUUGUAUUCUUAUUCUCUUGGGUAGUUUAUUCAAAUGUAAAGUGAGUAAUGAGAAGAAAUUUGUAUGUCUACCAUAGUCGAAGACGUGGAAUAUGCACUUGUAUUGGAUUAUUUAUAAGUAAAAUGUGUUUUUUGGUUUGUUGCAAUUUUUAUAUAGAGCAGAAUGUUUUAUUGUUGUAAUCUAUAGGUAGAAAUGUAAGGUUGGACUUGGAAUGCAUUAGUUGUGAGCACUUAAAAAGUUUUGUUGUUUAGUUGUGUAUUGUCAAUGUUUGUUUUUGUUAGUUUUUACUUCAAAUAUAAUGGUUUACUGCAUUUUUUAUUUGGUAAUAGUUUGCUGCAUUGAAAGCAAACGGUAAUGGUUUGCUGCAUUUUUUAUUUGGUAAUGAUUUGCUGCAUUGAAAGCUUUUGAUAAUGGUUUGCUGCAUUUUUUUUAUUUGGUAAUGGUUUGCUGCAUUUUUUAUUUGGUAAUGGUUUGCUAGUUUGCUGGUUUGCUUCAACUGUUAAACCAUGGCUGAAUGGCCGAAAUUAAAGAAUGGUGCCAAAUUCACGAUUGAUCAUUUCAGUGCCAUAAGUUGUAAAUAGUGAUCGCUUAAGUACCAAGUUUUUAUAGAAGUGAUCAUUUAAGUGCUAGUCGCAAUUACAAAGUGAUCACUUAUGUUGCACAAGUUUUUUAAAAAAUAACAUGUUAGUGCCAAACGUCACAUUCCAAAUGCACAGAGUUCUUGCACCAGUUGAGUUGCUGGUGCAUCUUCUUGCACCAACCCAUACAGAUGUCGAUGCAACAAGAUGUACCAGCACCCAAAGUGCUCUUGUAGCAGCACAUAUAAUCAGAACCCCACAAAUUCAUUAUAAUCCACAACUUUAACCAACAACAGCAACAUUGCAGCAACAACAACAUUGCAAUAACAACAAAAAUAAAAUAUAUAGCAUAACUAACUUGCUAGCAUUCUAGCUAAAACCAACACAAGAGAAAAUGAAAAGUCAUUCCAGUACUUGCCAUUAACAUUGCUUGAUUGUUUACAAAAUACAAAAUACAAAAAAAAAAAAAAAAAACAUGUCUAACUUCACUCCCUAAUCAUCAAAAGUUCAGCACUUUCCUAAAAAAAAACAAUGGCAAUAUGCAAGCAGCAACUACCAUUGAUGAUAUAAUAUCCAGCACACUCCUAAAAAAAGAAAACAUGGAAAGAGACCAUGUCUAGCAUCACAUAAAAAGAGACCAUGUCCAACACCCUCCCAUCAGUCAAUAUUGACAACACCCUGAUCUCUUUUUCUUAUUAGAGCUUUGAAUUGAUUCAUAAUCCGAGCACUCUUUCGAACUGGAUGUGCAGGUUCUUAACUGGGCUUUCUGUCACCUCAUUUUCCUUUUCCUUGUUUUUUACGGCAGCUAUUUUUGUUCUAGCACGUAUCAUGUGUUGGUCCAUAUCAUCACUACUGCUCCCAAUCGUUGGUUGAGAUGGAACUAGUGAUGGGUUCUUUUUGGAUGGCUGUUUCGCAGCUAUACCCACUGUCUUCUUCUUCUUCUUCUUUGGAGCACUCUUCUUUGGAUGCGCCCUUAAUUCUUGAGUUGGCCCACCUUGAGAGAGAAGUACCUCUGAAGUUCUCCCAGGCUACAAGAACAUAAUGAUAUUGUCAACCAAAUGAAUUGAAGUACAACAAAUUAAAUGCAUAAGGCCUAUAAAUUUUACAUUCAAAAUAGUCAUUCCAGUACGUUCAUCUGUGUAAAUCCCAUAACCAUAUUGCCUUAAUUUUUUUCCAAGAGCCCCUUUUGUUCGCUGUGAUGCAUCAUUUUCAGCAACAACAAUCUGAUAUUGCUAGUAUGAGUACCUAGAGGGGGGUGAAUAGGUAUAUAAAGAGUUUUUCUCAAGCAAUUGCACAAUACUAGACAGUUGGAUGAAACGAUAAUCAAAGUAAGACUGAGAGAAGAGAAAAUUUAAUACGCGGUUUAUAGUGGUUCGGCUUAUAUCAAGCCUACGUCCACUCUUCUUCACUGACAGCCUAUUGGCUGGAUUCCACUAUGAACAAGAGAGAGGUUACAGCACAGCUUUGCCUUGAUUCCACAGUGUAGAUGUUCUACUACACCUCCUCAAGAUUUCUCACAAAUAUAGACUCUCUCUUUCGUAUACAAGUAUUCGCUCAAAGGAUUUGUCUAAACAAAAAGAAGUUUCAGACUUUGGAAUUCUUCUAUCGCGCACACCUUGAACAACUAAGACAGUCUUCCUUAUAUACUCCUUUAUGCCAUCAUACCCGUUGGCACUUACCAAAGGAAUUCCUCCAAUCUACCCGUUGAACGGAAUCAAUUAGGAAGAUUGUCCAAGCUAUAAAUGGAACGUGUUGAUAGCCCAUCAAUCAUGUUCGCCCAUACAAUCAGGAUCUCGGUUUCCAUAAGCAGAACCUUCCAAUAAUAUUUAGGCAAUCACCGGAUCUUCAAUUAUCGAAUCAAUCUUCGAUCAAUCAAAGGACUCCGUUUAUGUCUUCUCCAGCCAUGAGAUCUUCUCCAGUUGAUAAGGUUAAAUCCUCAACGAAACAUCCAGUUCUGGAUAACCUUUCUUCAACAAAUUAGAGACUGUCAAUGAGGAUAGACUUUGAGUCUUGAGUCUAGCUGUCCUAAGGUCUUUAGACUUUAAAUAGCAGAGUCUGCAAGCCUUCAGACUAGACUGAUAUAAACGAUUUGUCAACUUCAAAACACUUCAAGAAGAUUUCUCCAACAAUCUCCCCCUUUUUGAUGGUGACAAAACUUUCCUGCAGAUUUGGAUAUCUUUGACCUGCAAAACAUUUCUCAAACACAUAUACAUAUCUUAUAGAGGUAAAUGUCUUAACAGAAUAACACUAGAAUCUGCAACCACAGAAAAUAGGUUAGUCCAGUAUAUGAUGAAGCCAUCCAUAAGAUAUCAAUAUUAGUUAAUAGAAGCAGUCAAGUCCAAGUCUAGUUUACUUCUCAUCCAAACACAAACCAAAGUCAAAUAGAUUCAAACCACAAAACAAUCCAACAAAAACAAUUAAAAGUUGAAUGAAAGGUUUUUAAUCAAAUCUUGCAUCUCUCCCCCUUUUUGUCAUCAUUAAAAAGGAUGAGAUGAAGUUAAGAAUGCUUGGGAACGCGGACAAGCUGGAAAUCUUCCAUAGACUGAACAAUGCCUUCCAACCUUUUAAAGUCUUCCUUUAGCUGUGCAAUCUCCUCACUCUUGGCAUUGGCCUGAUUCUGAACAGAGAGGGCUUGCAUUUUAUCAUUCAAUAAACAGGAAGAAGCUUGACCUUCAUUCUUCAAGCUUUGAACUUCGCAUCCCAAGGCAUAAAUCUGACCUCGCAUCUCCAAAAGAAUAUCCAUGAUUCUGCGAAAAUCUGCUCCAUUAUCAGUUUGAGUACUUGCUUCGGCUCGAUCUGAUGGAGUAAAUGCAGAUGAUGGUAGAUCAGCAUAAUCUUGCAGGUUUGGCGAUGAAACUUCAUGACCUUCUUCUGGAAAUUGAGAUGCAUAAACAUCCUCUGGAUCUGCUGGUGAGCGACUGAUUCCUUCACUUGCAUCAGGACAUGAAGACUUCACUCCUUUCUCCUGAUCUCCCCCUGUUUCCAUGCCUACAGGUGGAGAAGAGUGUUCUUCAGGUUCUCCUUCUUCUCUUCUUUCUUCUUCAGGUCUUUCCUCCUCUGUUUCUUUUUCAGCUUCUAUUUCUUCUUCUUCCUUCUCCUCUGCUUCUUUCGUCAUUUGCUCCGAUUCUUUCUGUGGAACAAGACGACUUAAAUUCUUCAAAGCCAAUGCAGAGAUGGUGAUGUCUUCCUCAUCAUCUUCAUCCUCAACAAGGAGAGCUCUUCUUCUCUUGGAUGGAGCAACCAUGGGCUCCUUCCCUUUUCUUUUAGCUGCAGAAGAUAUUUGAUGAGAUUUUGCAGGAGUCUUCUCCUUGAAUUUCUCCAACUCCUUGCUCAGUUCUUUCAGACGCAUUUUGGUCACCAUUUUCAGACCUACCACCAUAUGAUCGCAUGGUCGAACACAAAAGAUUUGUAGAGGCUGAAUAUUCAGAUGUCUGAAUAACUUCGUAACAAGGCUUGGGUAAGGGAGUUGACCUCCGUCCUUCAUCAUUGCUCUAUACAUGUGAAACAUCACAGUGUGAGGGAGAGAAAACCUUUUUCCAAAGAGAAUGGCAUACAUCAACUUGGCCUCUGAACUUGAAACAUCAGUCUUGGAAGUCGAUUUCGGUCGGAUGCAAUUAAUCACAAUCUUGUGAAGCAAGAUGUUGAAUGCACCCAUCCUUAAGUAGGUGAUCUUUUCAUCUGUUCUCCUGUCCUUCACCAGUUCAAGAGUGGCCCGAGCAAUGGAAACUUUGAUUGGCUGAUAUCUUCCUCUUUCGACUUCUAACACAUCUGCCAGCAUAUUCAUAUCCACAACAUAAUCUUGGUUUUUAACGCUGAACGAGAAUCUAUUCGCAUCCAAAAAGCUUAGAUUUGAAUAGAAAUAUGCAGUUAAUUCAGCAUAGGCCUCUGUAGAGUCAGAGCAGAACUUUUCAAGUUGAAGAUAACUGAACUUUUCCCUCAAGUUCAUAUUCACAGCAUCCAGAAAAUCGAAAUCUACACUCCUAGGGUUUAUCACCCCACGCUUCAGCAAUUUCGAGUACAGAUCCUUUUGCUCCUUUGAUCUGAACAAAUCUCCCCUUUUUCCUUGGUUAUCAACCGCAACACCCAUUUUCGGUUGGAAUUGACUGUACAAUUUAUCAUCAUCAUUCCCAUCUACAGGAUUCGGCCCCCAGUCACGAGGAUCACUUGGGAUAUUUGCAAGGGUUUCCUCAGCCACCCCUUUUCGAGCAAUUCCCAAACUUUCCAUUUUUUUCAGAAAGAUAUAUUCGUUCCCAUGUCCUUUGUCUUUAAGAAAAUCAUCAAUGUAGUUCAAAGGAGUACGAAUUCCUUUUAGGGCACGAUAUAACUGGUAAAUAUAAGUGGGCUUUUGAACUCUUACAGGGUCUGCAUCCUCGAUGAUUUCUUCCUGUUGUUGAUGAUCAACGCCUUGAGGACUAGAUGGAGGAGAAUGACACUGUUGAGAAUGUUGUGGGCUCGCUUGCUGAUCUGGAGUCACUUCAUCUUCAGUAAGAUCGAAGUGCGUAGGCCCCUCACUCAUCCGCCGUGGUCCCCUGCUUGCAAUUCUCGAAGACUUUCUUGAAGAUGACAUCUUAGUUUUUGGAAGAUUCCUUGCUUGACUUUCCCAGGAAAGAUGACAACUUUUUAAGGAUUAAACGAAGAAGACAAACGGGAAUGGAGGAUCGAUGCUUUCUAGGGUUUUUGAGAGAAAAGUGAAGAGGAAUCGAUAGUUCACGAUCGGUUAAGAAGAGGGAUAAACGAACCAUCAUAAAGGAAAUAAAAAUAUGCCUUUUCAAAAUAACUGUCUUUUUCCGCAAAAAUAGCCAUUUCAAAAAUAACUUCCCUUUUGAAAAUGAAACGAUGCAAUAUUUACUUCAAUUAAAUAUAGCAACAAUUUAAACACAGUCUGACAAUCGUACCUUUUCAAGAUGAGAUUCAAGAGAGAAAGACUUACAGUCUGACGGACGUACCAAGACUGUCUUUCAGAUAAAGUCUUGUAAGUCUGAGUCUGAAAGUCUUUAGACUUUGAUAUCCUCAUACCUCAAAAUGUUGAGUCUCGAGCGUAUAGACUCAAAUUGAUUUUUCUCCAAAGGCUUUGUGAAUAUAUCCGCCAGUUGAUUCUUUGAGUCAACAAAUUGAAUUGAAACAUCUCCAUUUUGAACAUGGUCUCUUAUAAAAUGAUGUCGAAUCUCUAUAUGCUUUGCUCUUGAGUGGAGAAUUGGAUUUUUGGUGAGGUUGAUAGCGCUGGUGUUGUCGCAAUUAAUUUCCGUGCAUGAGUCUUCAAUUUCAAAGUCUCUUAGCUGUUGUUUUAUCCAUAGAAUUUGCGAAUAGCAGCUUCCCAGAGCUACAUACUCUGCUUCUGUUGUUGAAAGAGACACAGUGCUUUGUUUCCUUGAAAACCAAGACACUGUCCUGCUUCCAAGCAACUGGCAAGUUCCCGAAGUGCUCUUUCUAUCAACUCUGCAAUCGGCCAGAUCUGCAUCUGAAUAUCCCAUAAGAUUAAAGUCUCCCUUCUUAGGAUACCAAAGACCGAUGCUUGAUGAUGAAGCAACGUAUUUAAUGAUGCGUUUCGCAGCACUGAGAUGGGAUUCUCUAGGAUCUGAUUGAAACCUAGCAUAGAUGCAAACACUCAACAAGAUGUCAGGUCUAGAAGCAGUAAGAUAAAGGAGUGAACCAAUGAUGCUUCUGUACAGCUUUUGAUCAACUUUCUUCCCUUCUUCAUCUUUGUCUAUCUUCAAAGAACUUGACAUCGGUAUGUCGGUCUUUUUGCACUUUUCUAAUCCAAAUCUUUUGACAAGAUCAUUAACAUAUUUUUCUUGAUAAAUAAAGGUUCAUUCCUUCAAUUGUUUUACUUGAAGACCAAGAAAGAAUGUUAACUCUCCCAUCAUACUCAUUUCAAAUUCAUCCUGCAUAGACUUAGAAAAUUUCUUGCACAUAUUUUCAUUAGAAGAUCCGAAUAUAAUGUCGUCCACAUAUAUUUGAACAAGUAAGAAACUUUUGUUCUCCUUUUUGAUAAAUAAAGUAGUAUCCACUUUACCUUUGACAAAACCAUUUUGUAUUAAAAACUUACUUAAUCUGUCGUACCAAGCUCGAGGUGCUUGCUUUAAACCAUACAGAGCCUUCUUCAGUCUGAAGACUGAGUCUGGCUUCUUUGGGUCUUCAAACCCUGGUGGUUGUUCCACAUAAACUUCCUCUUGGAUGACUCCAUUUAGGAAGGCGCUUUUGACGUCCAUUUGGAAUAACCUGAAAUUCUUAUAACAAGCAAACGCAAGUAAUAGUCGAAUAGCUUCUAACCUUGCUACUGGAGCAUAAGUCUCAUCAUAGUCUAUUCCUUCUUCUUUCAUAUAUCCCUUGGCCACGAGUCUUGCUUUGUUUCGUAUGACUUUUCCUUUCUCAUUCAUCUUGUUUCUGAACACCCAUUUAGCUCCAAUAACAGUUUUACCUUUUGGUUUGGAUGUCAAUUUCCAGACAUCAUUAAUGCUAAACUGUCUGAGCUCUUCUUGCAUAGCUUCAAUCCAGCUUUCAUUAGAUAAAGCUUCUUCUAUGCUUUUUGGUUCAAUUUUAGAAACGAGAGCCACAACACUAGACUUUUCUCGCCUUUUGGAUCUAGUGCGAAUUCCUUCAUUCAUUUCGCCGAUUAUAAGAUCUUUGGGAUGACUGGACUUAUGCUUCCAGUUACUCGUUGAUCUGUCUGGUUGAUGAUUUCUUUCUUUGUUUGGAUCUUCACGAACAUCUUGAAGCUGGUUUUCCAGAGUCUGAGAUGCUUCUUGAGAUGUAAGCUUUGGAAGAUCUGGAGCAGGUUCAGACUCUUCUUGAUGAGUCUGACUUGAUUCAUCUUGUGUUGAGUCUUGGAAUUUGACAUUCAUUGACUCCUCCAUAAACUGGCUCUUCUUGUUAUAGACUCUGAAGGCUUUGCUUGAUGUAGAAUAUCCAAGGAAGAUACCUUCAUCUGAUCUUUCUUCAAACUUACCAACUUGAUCUUUUGCAUUUUUCAAUAUAAAACAUUUGCAACCGUAUACAUGAAAGUAUGAAACAAUAGGCUUCUUAUCUUUGAACAAUUCGUAAGGGGUUUUCUCUAGAAUAGGUCUUAAGAAGAUUCUAUUGAUGAUAUAACAUGCUGUUGAAACAGCUUCAGCCCAAAAUCGUGAAGAAAUCUUGCUUUCAAAUAAAAGAGUUCUAGCCAUUUCCUGAAGAGAUCUGUUCUUUCUUUCCACAACUCCAUUUUGCUGAGGAGUAUAUGGAGAGGAGAACACAUGAUUAAAGCCAGAUUCAUCACAAAAUUUUGUAAAAUCUUGAUUUUCAAAUUCACUUCCAUGAUAUGUUCUUAUACUUGAGAUAACACAUCCUUUUUUCAUUUUGAACCUUUUUAGCAAACUUUUCAAAAUACGAGAAGGUUUCAGACUUACUUGCAAGGAAAUAUACCCAAGUAAAACGGGAGUAAUCGUCCACAAUUACUAGGCAAUAUUUCUUACCUCCAAUACUCUGUGUUCUGGUUGGUCCGAAGAGAUCCAUAUGCAGCAACUGUAGUACAUGAUUAGUAGAGACAUGAUUUAUUGGCUUGAAUGAAUUUCUUAUCUGCUUUCCCAGAAUACAUGGAGUGCAUGGAUCAGUCUUUUGAUAAGGUAAUUUGGGUAGUCCUUGAACAAGCUGCUUUGAUGAGAUUUUGGCUAAUUGCUUCAUGUUAACAUGACCAAGCUUUCUGUGCCAUAAGCUUGCUUCGUCUUGAAUUGAGAUAAAACAUUGCGAUUCAUUUGGUUUCACAUCCAGAAGAUAAAUGUUUCCAUGUCUACGACCCAUGAAAGACUGAGUAGAGUCUUUACUGAUUCCAGAACAUAUUCCUUCUUGAAAAAAGAUCUUGAAACCAGUAUCACACAAUUGACUAAUGCUGAGAAGAUUGUAAUUGAGUCCUUCCACUAAGGAAACAUUACUUAUUGUGAGAUUUCCAAUUUUCACAGUUCCAAAUCCCACAAUACUCCCUUUGUUGUUUCCUCCAAAUGAAACUUUUCCACCAUUUACUUGAGCAAUCUUUAUAAAACAAUUUGAGUCUCCUGUCAUGUGUCUUGAGCAUCCACUGUCAAGAUACCACUUUACCUUUUUCUUGACGGUGACCUGCAUUUAAAAAAGAGUCUCAAGCUUUCUUUGGUACCCAAACUUUCUUGGGUCCUUUUGUGUUAGUAACAUAAGCAGUAUUAGCCCAUAUUCUCUUAACAGGUUUCCAAACCAUAGGACACUCUUUUUCAAGGUGAUCCGGACUGUUGCAUUUUGAACAUUUUAGAGCAUUUCUUCCUACAGAUUUUACAAAAACUUUCUUGAAGUGAUUUUUGUAAACCUCUCUCGAGAGUCUUUUCUUAAUUCUUUCUUUUACUUUAGGAAAAUCAAUCAGGGGAAUUGUUUCUUCUGUCAUACCUAAACCGGACUUAUUGAAGUAAGGUCUUUGAGCUGAAAGAAUUUUCUCAAGUUUUUCGGACCCUAUUGAAAAUUUCUUUGAGAUAUUUGAUAAGUCUGUUUUUAAAAAAGCAUUUUCUUUUAAAAGAUCAUCUUCAUUUUCUUUAAGAGUGGAAACAGUCAAGUCAAGACUUUUAACUCUUUCUACUAAAACAUUUUCCUUUUGUUUUAGAGCUGAGUUUUCCUUUUUCAGUUCGGAAAUUCUUUUGAGAGAAGUCUUAAGACUAAAACAUAAUUCAUCAAUAUAUUUAGAAACUUUGACAGGAAUUUUAAUAUCACUUGCCUCAAAUUUACUGUCUGAGUUUGAUCCAGAGUCUGAGUCUGAUUGUGCCAUCAGACAUAGAUUGGCAUAUUCAUUAUCACUUUUUUCACACUCUGUGUCACUCCAUGUUUUGGCUUUGAGAGCUUUUCGAAAUCUUUCAGCUUUUCCUUUCUUCUUUUUCAGAAGAGGACAGUUGGGUCUGAUGUGUCCCUUUUUCUUACAUUCAAAGCAGACUAUGUCUUUGUUUGGUUCCUCAUCAUCAACAGACUUGGUCUGCUGUCUUUGAAAGCUUUGUUUCUUUGAAUUGAACCUUCUUCCUUUUCUAUUCAGUUUUCUGAAUCUUCUUAUCAUGAGAGCAAGCUCCUCAUCGUCCAUAUCUUCUUCAGAAUCUGUAUCAUCAGAAUCAUUAUUUGAUUUUAAUGCAAUGGAUUUCUUACCUUUUGGAUCUUCAUCUUCAUUGAUCCAUUCCACUUCAUAAGACUGAAGAGUUCCAAUUAGCUCGUCGACAGAUAGUGGCAUAAUUCUUUGCGUCUCUCUUAUCGAAGUCUUUAUGUGAUUCUAAUCCCUGGAGAGUCCACGCAGUAGCUUGUUUACCUUCAUGGGAUCAGAAGUUGGUUGACCUUGAUUUUCAAGACCAUUCACAAUAUCUGUAAAACGACUAAACAUGUCAGAUAUAGAUUCUCCUGGUUUCAUUCUGAAGGCUUCGUAUUGACCAAGAAGAAUGUUGAUUAUAGUUUCCUUCACUCGAUCUGUUCCUUCAUAAGUGAUAUGCAAUCUAUCCCAAACUUCUUUUGUUGUACCACAAGAAGAUAUUCUAUUAUAUUCAGUUGGUGAUAAAGCACAAUAUAAGGAGUAAAUUGCUUUUGCAUCGAGUGCUUGUCUUUUGUUUAUUUCUUCCUGAGACAUUCCGCUGGUUUCAUCAGUUUCUUUUCCUCUUUCAGAUACUGAUGCAGUGGUAGGAGUAAUUCCUUUUUCUACAACGUCCCAUUCCAGAGGAUCCUUUGAUCGAAGGAAAGCUUUCAUCUUGUUCUUCCAGAUGUUGUAAUCCUUUCCAUCAAAGUAGGGUGGUCUGGUAUUGCUUUGCCCUUCCAUCAACCCUGGUGCUAGCAUACUAGCCAUGGAUCUUUUACUACGAAGUAAAACACUUCAAAUAAAGUAAGUACACAGGCUCUGAUACCAAUUGAUAUUGCUAGUAUGAGUACCUAGAGGGGGGUGAAUAGGUAUAUAAAGAGUUUUUCUCAAGCAAUUGCACAAUACUAGACAGUUGGAUGAAACGAUAAUCAAAGUAAGACUGAGAGAAGAGAAAAUUUAACACGCGGUUUAUAGUGGUUCGGCUUAUAUCAAGCCUACGUCCACUCUUCUUCACUGACAGCCUAUUGGCUAGAUUCCACUAUGAACAAGAGAGAGGUUACAGCACAGCUUUGCCUUGAUUCCACAGUGUAGAUGUUCUACUACACCUCCUCAAGAUUUCUCACAAAUAUAGACUCUCUCUUUCGUAUACAAGUAUUCGCUCAAAGGAUUUGUCUAAACAAAAAGAAGCUUCAGACUUUGGAAUUAUUCUAUCGCGCACACCUUGAACAACUAAGACAGUCUUCCUUAUAUACUCCUUUAUGCCAUUAUACCCGUUGGCACUUACCAAAGGAAUUCCUCAAAUCUACCCGUUGGACGGAAUCAAUUAGGAAGAUUGUCCAAGCUAUAAAUGGAACGUGUUGAUAGCCCAUCAAUCAUGUUCGCCCAUACAAUCAGGAUCUCGGUUUCCAUAAGCAGAACCUUCCAAUAAUAUUUAGGCAAUCACCGGAUCUUCAAUUAUCGAAUCAAUCUUCGAUCAAUCAAAGGACUCCGUUUAUGUCUUCUCCAGCCAUGAGAUCUUCUCCAGUUGAUAAGGUUAAAUCCUCAACGAAACAUCCAGUUCUGGAUAACCUUUCUUCAACGGAUUAGAGACUGUCAAUGAGGAUAGACUUUGAGUCUUGAGUCUGGCUGUCCCAAGGUCUUCAGACUUUAAAUAGCAGAGUCUGCAAGCCUUCAGACUAGACUGAUAGAAACGAUUUGUCAACUUCAAAACACUUCAAGAAGAUUUCUCCAACACAAUCCUUGUAGCAACCUCUGCAACUUGUGCAGUUGCUCGUCUUCUCACCUAAGAAACACAUAACAAAUGUAAAUUUUAGCCCAUAAAAAGGCCAAACACAGUGAUGUACAACUUACAGGAUAUUUUUUUCUUGUUUGCUCAACGGUGGACUCAGUUGUUAUUGUUGCUGUCUUACCAAUUCUAGUCCUUAUCCCUGCACUUGAGCCUACAACAUGGCCUUUUUCUGGCCCUUUAGUAGGCCUUACAACAAUGUGCUGUAUUAGGAUUAUGACCAACUACAACGAAUAAUUACACAUCUCAUUUUCAUAGUGGAAACACAUGGAGAAAACUUCUCAAAUUACAAGUGCAUGACAGAGGAAAAGCACAAGAGAAGCUAGUACACAUGGUCAACCAUCAAACUCUAUCGAAUAAGAACUGUAAAGUUACUGAGAUAAAGAGGAUACUUACCUUACAGUAUGGCUUUCUGUUGCCCUUUAGUAGACAUUACAGCAGGGCCUUCUGUUCUCCCUUCAAUAAGCCCAACAAGAAACUCUUUGUAAGUCAUGUCCCUGGCAUUGAAUCAACCAUUACAUCUUGCUAUUGAUACUGCUUUUUCAGCUCACAACCUUUCUUAUCGUGCCCUUCCUUGCGGCAAUAGGAGCAUUUCAUAUUUGAUCUAGUCCUACUCAUCCUUUGACUUGAUGCCUCUUCCUAUUGCAUUCUUCGUCUCUUUUUUGGCCUUCAUAUUUGCUUCUUCAGCGGUAAAGGUAGAGGGCUUUAAUGAUUUGUUGGCUCCCAAAAUUUGCUGCUUCUGAUAGGCUACAUCAUGAAUUGGUAUGAAGCAAGGUAUGAGCUUUUUUUGUACCAAUCAUCUAGGUAAUCAUCUAGGUUUUCUUGCUUCAUCUGAAUAGCACAAAUGGCAUGAGCACAGGGAAUUCCAUUCAGUUGCCAAGCUCGGCAUGAACACUUUCUUCUAUCCAAGUUGACAACAUACUUAUCAUGAUUUGGAAUAAUCUCAUACCCAUUAUCUUCAUUCCAAACUGGAUGGCAGAACCUACUAACAGCAAUAUUUGCAUCUAAUCUCUUCACAAUCCUAGGGCCACAGUCUCUACUCCAUUUUGUAGCAUCAUCUCUUUGCCUAUGCAGUCUAGUCAUAACCAUAACUCGAAUAUCAUCAAGCAUGCUGAUGAUUGGUUUGCACCUAGCCUCUAAAAUUCUACCAUUGAAAGCUUCAUUGAGGUUGUUAUCAAUGUUAUCGCAUUUGAACUCUUCGCUGAAGAAGACCCGACACCAGUGCUUAGCUUCUGUCUGGAAGAGUGUAUCAAAACCUUCAUUUGUCAGCUGUAACAAUCCUUGUUUCGCUAAUUUGAAAUCAACCAUAUUCGUACUCUUUGCUAUCUGCCAGAACUGCUUCUACAACAUAUCUCCUUUGAAGUUCCUUGACCAGUUUGCAUAUAUGUGCCUCGUGCACAUUCUAUGCUCAGCAUGUGGCAUCAACUCAGCCAAUGCAGGAAUAAGUCCAUACAAAAAUUCAAACCAAUAAAUACAAGUCAAGAAAAAUAUGCAAGUGAUUAAUAUAUAAAUGAGUGAUUAUUGACAUGAAAUUACCUUCUAUUGGUUGCUCAUGAAUGCCCAUCCUCCCCCAUCGGUUAUCACAAGGUCAGUCAUCAAAUUUUUUAGGAACCAUGACCAAAUAUCCUUGUUCUCUAUCUUUACCACCGCCCAAGUUAUCGGGAACAUUUAAUUAUUGGCAUCUCUCCCCACAGCAACCAACAACUCCCCCUUGCAUAAACCCUUUAGAAAGCAUCCAUCCAAUCCUAUAACUCUUCUACAACCAACCAAGAAGCCCCGUUUGCAUGCAUCAAAACAGACAUAAAAUCUAUCAAAUUUAGGCCAAAGAUCAGGGAGUGGCCUCUUCACAACCUCUACAUAUACCCUACUGGAUGGGUUUUGAAACAUGUAUUCACCAGCAUAAUUCCAUACCUGUGCAUAUUCUUCUUUAUACCCACCCAUCAAUAUUUUCAUCACCCUUAUCUUAGCUCUCUUACAUUGAUUCCUCGACACAUUAACCUCCACUUGCUCCUUCACUAAUUGUUGAAAUUGAGAACUCUUGAUCUCGGGCAUUGCUUUGAUAGUAUUAAAAAAAUUCUUUGAUAACCACACACUUGUUACCCUUUUAUUAUUAAAGAUAAUUGGACAAGUAUGCUCCUCCUGAAAGGACCUAAGCUAGAAUGACCUAUUCUUACUAAGCGCAGCAUAGAGCUUCCAUGAACAAUUAGGUUGUGAGCACUUAGCUCUCACAAAUUCCUUCGUGUUUCUAAUAAAUUUAACGCUCCUCUGUUCACCAAUUGAGUUCUUCACAACAGCUUCCUUGAACUGUUUGGCAUUGUCAAAUCUCAUGCCCACCGACAAAACAGGUUUAUCAACAGUUGAAUCAUAGAAAGGAUACUUACUUUUUCUUCGAGGAGCAGGUUCUUCAUCAUCAUUGUCAAGCUCAUUUUCCGAACUAGUAACUUCAUCGCCACAGCUUUCUUCAUCUUCACUUCUAUUACCCUCAGCUUGAUCUCCAUCCCUAUUUACUGGCUCGGACCUUUUUGCUAAAGCUACAAGUUUUUUUUUCUCAGAAAUUCCCUUUGCUUUUGUCUUGACUGUACGAGUUCAUCAUCAUCUUCGUCACUUGGAAAAUUUACUAAAGCCAAACAUUCAUCUUCCGAUUCAUUAGAUAAAGCAAUUUCCCAUUCUAAUCCAAUGAAGUCUUCAUCGCCCACAUCUUCACCCAAAUCUUCACCCAAAAUUUCAGGACAUCUCCCUCUUUGUUCAUCUCUAUCAAUAUGACUUAUCUCCCUCUCAUUUUGCCCUUCAUCUAACCUAAACUUAUCCCCGACUUGAUUACUCGUUUGAACAAGAUCCCUCACUUCUCCUCCUUCAGUGGUCGUCUGCUCAUCCACAUCCUCAUCCUCAUCCUCACUAUAAUACUCAACAUAUACCUUAACUUCUUCAUUGUGAAGAUAAUGGUAAAUGAUAUCCUUAAUACCAUUAUCGUUGUUAAAAAAUCUUAACCCAUCCUUCAAUUCCUUCCCAGGAACACAGUAAUGUAGUUUUUGCACUUUGCAUCGUAAAAAAUACACCAAAUCUCUCAGAAAAUCAAUAUAUGAUGGCUUCCAAACAUUGACAUAAAUAGUACCUUAAUUUCCACUAUUUUAUUAUCAAUCUUCAGUGCCAAUAACAAACUCUCCACCAUAGUAAACAAUGACGCUUACCUGAUUCGUGUCCAUGUCGAUGCUGCACCCAAUGAAAAAAAAAAGAGUCAUUGUCGUUUUGUUGGAACCACAUGACAGAAUCGACAACUUCACAUGUAGGUCCUUAUCGUUUUGUUGUCAAGGAACAAAUGCGACUAAAAUCUCCCCAAUUCGGUGGAUUUACAGAAAUAAAAGAAACCGAAUUAAAUAAACAAAGUGAGGUCCCCACCACUCAUUUUUCAAUUCAAUCACAUUCACAUUCGGUCCCCCACAAAAGCAGUCCAAUUAAUUAAAUAAAAAAAUUCGGUCCACCACUGUUUCCCUCCGAGUCAAGCCUCUCCGCACCAUUUUUUCUGUUCGGUCCUCACAAUAGAAAACGAACAAACGAUGGAAGAAUCAAUUUUUCUAUUCCGUCCCCAUAAAAGUGACAUCCCCACCACUUUCCCCACUACUUUCCGCUUGAGCCAAGCCCUCAAUUUGCCCUCCGUGCCCUAAUUUGCCCGUCGGAACCCUAAUUUUUUCGCAAAAUUGAUCCACGUAGAGAACAUGACAAACUUGAACGAUCGUGAACAAUGGCGCAACUACAACGGUGGCCAAGCGAUAGUGGGCGAGCGACAGCAGGCGAGCGAACGACGGUGGGUGAACGACAGUGGGUGAGCGAGCUCCGGCCAGCGUCGAGGAGAAUAAUAUACGAACCCUAUUUUACUCCCUCUUCAGCAACAUCGUUUUUUGCUAUGGAGCAACGCGGCGUCGUUUCUUAUGUGAAUCCACGGUGGAUGGCAAGAAACAACGUUGUUUCUUACAAAGAAAGGAAAACGGCGUCGUUUUAUGCUAUCCACCGUGGACAAUCUUAAGCCACAUCGUUUUUUUUUUAAAUAUAAAAGCCACGUAUUUAUUUUGGCCGAAAUUUCUCGCCAGUGGCACCAAAGUGAUCGUUUUUUCUCCGAUUUGGCACUUAAGUGAUUUGACGGAAACUUUUGACACCAAAGUGAGCGCCGUACACAACUUAUGGCACCAUUAGUGUACUUUUCCCCAAGGUUAAGGCUUGCCACACUGAAUGUAACUUCGCUUUGGGACCCAACCAACGCUAGAACGCCACCCGUCUUCAAAAGAGACAUGUAAGGAUCAAAUAGGUGAUCAGCAGAUGCCGUGUCGAUUAUAAAGUCCAGGGACUUAGCCAUGGCCUGCAUGUAUUGGAAUCAUCAGAUCACGGUAGCACUUGACCUUAAUGGAUCUAAAGUAUUGAUAAUUUUAAAUCUUCCCGCCUGCCUUCGUCUAUUCUUGGUCAGAUGAGAUAACGAAGUGGUCAGCACCAAGCAAGCUCAGUGCUUCCUCCUUUUUAGAAAUGCUUGUACUAAACAUAGCGAAUUUCAGUCCAUAAGCCUUCCCAAGCUUAAUUGCCAUGUGACUGAGCCCACCGAGUCCAAUUACACCAAGAGACUUACCCGGUUGGUUCAUCUUGUGACGCACCAUUUGAGUGUAUAUUGUGAUUCCAGCACAAGGCAAUGGUGCUGCUAAAGCCAACGGGAAGUUUUCUGGAAUCCUGAAGCAGUACCUGUUAAUGAAGCACCACAAUUAAGUUUCCAAAUCACACCAAAGGAGGAAGGGAUUUCCCAAUAGAAUCAGCAUCCCAUCUUUUUUGUACAACGGGAUUCAAAUCACAUUUUACUUGCUUAGAGCACAAUUCAACAUCAUGUGGUUUCUGUGAUUCUUUUUCUGACCACAAAUUGCUUAAGACGAAAACUUCUUGCUGUAGCGACGAAAGUAAAGCCACUGCAGCAUACAGGAGGCCAUACUUGAUCAAAAUUGAGAAAAGAGGCUUGCUCUAACAGAGUACACUGGAAGCAUAUUGCAUAUGCAUGGCAGAUCAUGUAAUUUCUCUAUUCCCCUCAAUCAUGUCUCUAAGGGACACGAUAUUCCCGUGACUGUCGAAUACAAGAAUCCGUGAAAGCACGUACAUUUUAUUACCCAUUUGAUCUAACACUUACCAUCUAACUCUUGGAAACAAUCUAAAAAAAGGGAGGAAGAGGAGAUAGAAGGCAAGAAUUGAGCAAUUUCCAUCUGUUUCUCUCUUUUAAUUAAGAGUUAAUAUCCUAAAAAACUCCAAAUUGGUACACAUGUGACAAAUUUACCCCGAUGGACUAUUAAAAACCCUAAAAUUAUAUAUUUAUGACAAAUUUACCCCAAACUAAUUUAUUCGACCACAAAAAAAAUGGUAAAUUUGUGACAAAUAUAUCCUCCACUAAAUUGAAUUAAUACCAUAGUAAACCGUGACAAACGGAGCGUAAAAUCUCAAAUUGAUAUACUAGUCAACUGUCACAUGUCAUUUAACUUAAUAAUUUGACAGUAAAAUUUAAUGAAAACUAAUAGAAGGUAAAUUUGUCACAAGUGUACCAGUUUAGAGUAAAUUUGUCAAAUAUAUAACAAUUUAGAGUUUUUUGUGGUAAAAAAAAAUAGUUUGGAGUAAAUUUGUCACAGGUAUAUCAGUUUGGGGUUUUUUAGGGUAUUAACCCUAUAAUUAAUUUAGUUUUAAAUUUAAUCUUAUUAAUUUUUCAUGAAAAAUUCAUAUGUUAAAUUUAUUGGCUCACAUGUCAUUGUCACUUGAUGUGUAUGAUAUAUAGAAUAGUCCAAGAAAUUUGACUUUAGAUACAUGGGAACCCGCGAAUGGUCAUACAUUGUCGAUUACACAUUCAACAUGAUGUAUUAGCUAAUCAUAGUCCUCUAACGGUUUAUAUUUGCUUAAUAUAUUUCAAGAAUAUUAAUUUGUUAGACUUGUCCGCUCACACGCCGCUGUCACUCGAUGUGUAUGAUAAGCAGAAUAGUCGAAGAGCUUUGACUUUAGAUACUUGGGAGUGUCUAUGCUUGUUUUAUGUCUAUUAUGCUUGCAAUGCUUCUUGUUUUGAGUGGACAGUACAAAUAUUUAAGUCCGUGUCAAUUUGAACAAUUUUCUUUAUUAUAGAGCAACAGUCUUUAAUCUAUUGUGUUCUUGACCACAAAAAACCAAAUAACAAAUAAGUAUAAAUUAUUGUAGGGUCCAACGACAAUCUUUAAUCUAUUGUGUUCUUGACCACAAAAAAUCAAAUAAUAAAUAAGUAUACAUUAUUAUAGGACCCACUCCUUUAAAAAUUUGUUGUUCACAAAAACUUAUUUAUUCUCAUAAUAACCCAAAGUUAUGCUAGCAAAAAUGCAAUUUAAUCCUAAAAUUUGUCACGAAAUGCAAUUGAGUCCUAAAAUUUUCAAAAAGUACAAUUAAUUAUAAAGAUUUAUCAAAAUUGGUCCAAUUUAAGUCAUUCCAUUCAUUGCAAUUUUUGAAAGUUUUAGAGCUCAAUUAUGCUUUCCUAACAAGUUUUAUGACUUAAUUAUAAUUUUUGAAAAUUUUAGAACUUAAUUGUAAUUUAUGAUAAGUUUUAGGAUUUCUAGUACACUUAUCUUUUUUUUUUGUUUUUCACCUCAUUAAUCUUUUUUGCAACAAUGAGCUUGACAUAUCUCUGUUUUGAGGAUUUCAGUGGCUAGGGGAAACACAGGGAUGUCCUCUAAUGAAUCAACAAUCUUCCUGCCAUGACAAUGCCGGAAGAGAGAUGAGUGUCUUACAUAGUUAACAAAAAUGUUCAUGUUAUAAUUGGUAAGCAUUCGCUUUCCCAACGUGCAUGAACAUUUCCGGCGAUGAAACAUUCGUGAGGAGCCAGUAAAGACAUCCUGUUAUUUAAACCGGCAAGAGGAUAUCGAGCUUGCUCUAUUGGCAAGUAUAUUGUUGUCAGAUAAGCCUAAUAAAUCCGAUAUUUUCAUACAAAAAAUCGUCAUCGAGGCCAACUUAAUCCAAAAUGCCAAUGGACAGGCUUGGGUAAGCUAGUGGAUAGGUAUGCCGCUUUAUCUUAUGUCGUGUUAUCUCACGAGAGAUGGUGCUGCGUUCUCUUUAGAAUGCACAUGACUUGGGAUAGGAAAACCUUAGGAUCCGACUAGGAGGAAGGAAAAAAGCAAUCUAUUGUCGGGCCAAUAUAAGAUCAUUUCAUGUCAAACUCCGCAGUCUUGAGGCCAUGGAAUCUACGACAUACUUGCUCAUUCACAAGGACUGAGCAAAUAAAUGAUAAAAUAAGAGCAAUGGUCGUCAUUGAUCGUCUGCCCUUUAACUGAUUGGAUUCUAAAUAUUUUAUUUUCAAUUGGGGUCUAAAUAUUUUAUUUGAUUCAAUUGACUUCUAAAGAUUUCCAAUUUUAGUCAAUCAAGUCCCUCAAAUAUUAUCCUCGGAAAGAGCCACAUGGCUGUGAUUUUCCUAGUGGCUAAGGAGAUGCUUGAGGAGAAAACCUGUAGGAGAGGCGAAGCCAUCCAAGCAGAACUCUCAAGAAGUCAAUUUUUCAGACAGUUUCUCAAUCAUCACAUAGAGAAGUACCAGGAUUUCAUUACCCAUUUCACUUGUUUCUGCUAUAAAACUCACGAGUAUCGAAGUAUAUCAGGCAUAGUUUAUUUGUACUCCAGCAGAGCAAUUAAGAAGGCAUAGAUGAUGCUCUCCUCUAGCUGAAAGCCCGAAACUCCCACUUUUCCUCUGUGUGAUCAGCCUUGCCAGCAACAAUUUCCAACUACCCAAAUUGAUGUUGAAAUUUAAUCAAAUAGACUCAGAGAAGAAAACAAACAAGAGAAUUGUUGCUGUAACUUUCGUUACUUUAUUCAUCAGAACAUAAGCCUAUUAAAUAGGCAGAACAUCCAAACCACUUAGCAAGACAAUAGCUAUAGAACAACAACAAAGACCCACUAACAUACCCCACUAACCAGAACAUAUGCAGAAACUAACUCCUAAAAACAAGCCACAUCCUAUUGACUAGGACUCCACUAUUACAUUAUUGAAGACACGUAAAAACUGAAAGUUAACUACUUCAACAAUUGAUGGUGUCACUUCAAGGAGUUCUCAAUGUCAAUCACGAAUCGAUACUUAACAUCUCUCUUGAUGAGCCUCUCCAGAGCUUCGUUGGCGUAAUCGAUCGGUAUCACUUCAAUGUUUGGGUAUAUCUUCUGCACCGCACACAAGUCUAUCAUUUCUUGGGUAUUCUUUGUUCCUCCCGUUACGCUACCCGUAACAGUUCUCAUAUCUGCCAAAAGUUCACCGCGAGCAACUUAAUUCACCUAUCAGGUAUGAAAUUUCAUUUAGUAAUCAGAUUUGAGAACAAAAACAUACUGAGGUUAAGGCUGGCUGGACUGAAUUUAACUUCGCUCGGGACGCCGACCAAUGCUAGAAUGCCACCCGUCUUCAAAAGAGACAUGUAAGGAUCAAAUGGGUGAUCACCGGCUGCCGUGUCGAUUAUAAAGUCCAGGGACUUAGCAAUGGCCUGCGUGCAUUGGAUUUAUCAGAUCACAACAGAAUUUGACCACCAUGGAUCUCAAUGUGGAUAAUUCUAGUUUUUCCUCUUUUUACCUUCAUCUGCUCCAGGUCAGAUGAGAUAAUGAAAUGGUCAGCCCCAAGCAGGCUCAGUGCUUCCUCCUUUUUAGAAAUGCUUGUACUUAACACUGUGACUUUCAGUCCAAAAGCCUUCCCAAACUUAACUGCCAUAUGACCGAGCCCACCAAGUCCAAUUACACCUAGAGACUUACCAGGUUGGUUCAUCUUGUGACGUAUCAUUGGAGUGUACACCGUGAUUCCAGCACAGAGCAAUGGCGCUGCUAGAUCCAUCGGGUAGUUUUCUGGAAUCCUGAAGCAAUACCUGUCAAUGAAGCACCACAAUUAAGUUUCCAAAUAACACCAAGACAGGAAGUGAUUUCCCAAUAGAAUCAGCAUCCUGUCUUUGUUGUCUAAAAGGAAUCAAAUCACAGAGCCAGAAAUCCUAUCUUCCACAUGCUUGGGAAUUUUACUUGCUUAGACCACAAUUCAGCAUCAUGUUGUUUCUGUGAUCCUUGUUCUGACCACAAAUUGCUCUAGACAAACAUUUCUUGCUGUAGCAACGUAAAUAAAGCAAUUGCAGCAUACUGGAGACCACACUCGAUUAAAAUUAAGAAAAGACACUUGCUCUAAGAAAGGAAACUAGUGGCAUAUCAUGUAUGCUUGACUGAACACGUAAUUUUGUAUUUCCUUCAAUCAAUUUCUCCAAAGGACUCAAGAUUCCUGCGGCUCUAUCAGAAACAAGAAUUAGUGAAAGCGCAUACAUUUAGCUACUCAUUUGAUCUGAUACUUAUGAUCUAACUCUAACAAUCUAAGGACAGCUUAUUCCAUUCUUGACAAUGGUUAUUCAAAAGAAAGAAUUUCUUUUCGCAUUUAAUAAAGCCAGUUCUCCAUUGAAUGGUUUGAAUGGUAAUUGGAUACAGAGGACUUAAAGACUCUCCAGAGUCGUUAUAGAAAGUAUCUUUAUCCCUUUCCACAAGAUGCAAUUAAUGCCUAAAAGCCAUUCCUCACAGUCCUAUGCAUUAUGCCACUUCUGGUCACAAUCAGAAUAAGAAGAAAAUUAGCAGAGAAGAAGACAUGACAUGAAAUCUUUUUUUGGCCACCAUGAUUUGGAAUUCUGUCACAGUGCAAAAUGCUGCCUAAUAACACUGUGUCAGUAAGCAAUUACCUUUCAUGGACGACAAUGUGACUAGAAUAUCCUCCCUUUGUCACUGUACCAUCUGCAUCAAUUCCAUCAAAAGUCAUAACCGACUUUUCACAUUGGACUUCUAGCCUGUCAUUGCAAUACUCGCACUCUCUGCAUGAAUUGACAUAAGUUCCCACCCCCACAUGAUCGCCAACUUUGAAGCGUUGGACACUGGAGCCAACCUGUUUCACAAUUCCAACUAUCUCGUGCCUGAAUCAAUCAAAAAAAAUUUUCGCAAAUUUUGUUCAGAGAAUUAUGAGGAUGGUGCUAAGAAAAAAGAUUUAACAUUUGAAUCCCGCUGCAUCCUACCCCGGCACCAGAGGAUACUUGGAGUGUCCCUGCACAUUCCUAGUCCAAGCCACAUCUGCGUAGCACACUCCACAGUGCGUGAUCUUAAUCGAGACGUCUUCGCUUCCCACGGCCCUAAAGAGAUGAUUCCCAAACAGGUGAGCAUAUAAUCCAGUGACUAAUCAGACUAGGGUGCCCUUUUUUUCCAUUUUCAAGAUCAACAAACUAAACUUGACCUACGAUUAUUGAGGAAACAAGAAACCAGAAAUGAGAAAAGGAAAAAUUCCAUGACUACAAGCAUAUUUGUCCAUACGGUAGAUACAACCUCAAAUGCUCAGAAAGGCAGCCAGUACAGGAUCCUCAUGUCUGCAGCCAGUACAGGAUCCUCAUGUCUGCCAUGAAAUUCUGAGUAACCCAUAACCAACAAUUCUCGACUCAGAAUUCAGCGCAUACACAACAAAAGAAAGAACGAAAAAAAAUGAAAUGGUCUGGACCGAAACUGUCUCUCGUGAACACUGUACUGAGACUCUCGCAUGAACACUUCGGUAGAAAUCGAAAAAGAAAAAAAAAAAAAAUGGCAAUACCUGCGGGUGAAUUUGUAGGGGGAGAGGAACCCAGAAGGGUCCCGGGCAGCCCAACCGAGGCAAUCCUCCUUCCCACCCUCCGAGCUCAUCUUCUGCACCUACACACCCGGCGAAGCAAUCACACAAACAGGUACGGUUAGAUUCAUCCAAAGAAGAAGAAGAAAGGGUGAGAACGCGAACGAGAGAGUGCCCAAGAUCAGAGACUCGACGGGUCAUCACACGGCGACGACUCGAGUCACAACGAGCUCGCCAUCACUCAUCAACUCACUCACUCACCCACCCCCACCUACCCAAGCACAACCCCACAGCAACUCAGAGAGAGAGAGAGAUGACUACGGAGAUGGAGAGAGGUUACGCGGUGGUGGAGUAUGCGGUAGCGCGAAGAGGGUGAUGAGCCGAGCAGAGUCGAGGACGGGAGGUUCAACGAAGACUUUUGCCCCCUCCUACUUUGCAGGAAAGCUACGAGUCGUCGUAUGGAUUUUAUGGCGGUGGCCCCUAGGCUCUAAAAGAAGGUUCGAGGAGCCUACUGCCUAGCCUUCUUUUGCUGUUGGUUUCAAUAUCUGCUGCUUUUCCGCCUUAGCCCAACCGACAUCGCCCUCAAAAGACAUCAAAGAUAAGGUAGUUGGAAGGAAACAUCAUCCGAAACUUAAAGAUGGGGUAGUUGGAAGGAAACAGUAUACGAAACUUUGGUUCAAUAGGUAACGUGAUUUUCUAAAUUUUUAAUUUACCCAAUAUGAUUUUUUAAAAUUUUGGUAUAGAUUCAACUUAGUCUUUAGAGUAUAUAUUGUCGCAAAUUUUAAAUUAAUAAAAUGACGACGUUGAAUAUUUUCAUAUGAUCAAAUGACAACAUUAAAUAUGUACUAAAAUUUUGAAUAAUAUUGAAUAUUUUCAUAUAAUUUUGAGAUUAUAUAGAAUAUGUAUCAAAGAUCAUUAACUAUAUAGUUCCGUUCAAUUUGCGGAAAAUAAUUUCCGAAAAACCGUUUUUCAGAUUUUUCGACAUUCAUUUCAUGAAAAAUGAAUUCAUUGGGAAAAAUGUUUCUUCUAAAUUAAGGGAAAAUGUUUUCCACUUUUAAAAAGUGAAAAACAUUUUCUUCACUCGAUCUCUCUUAUCUUACACCUCUAAAAAUCUCUACUUUAUCCUCACAUUUCUUUUUCUUCUUUUCUUUUUUUAAUUCAAAUUAUUUUUAAUUUCCUUUUUAUUUUAUUUUUAAUUUUUCUUUAUUUUUCUUUUUCUUUUCUUUGUUUCCCAUCUUUUCUUUCUUGGCUAGUUGUCAGUCAUUACCAAGCGAAUCUCGAGUUCGUCAAUCUUAAGCUCACACUCUGUACUCUUACUUAUCAUUUUCUUUAUUUACUCUAUCCUGCAGUUGUAUAUUGCUCAAACAAAUGGCUCUACAUGCUUUGCUUCUUUUUUCUUUUGUUUAUUAGAACACAAAAGACGCAUGAGAGAACAGGCCACUCAACUGGAAGAUUCUCAUUAGGGCUGUACAUGCUUUGCUUCUUUUCUCUUUUACUUCUUUUUAAAAUCCAUACAGACAUUUUUUAGAGUAGAUGAGCGUUUGACAACAAUGAGGGAACAAAGAUAUGCUCGAAUUUAAAUGCAAGUUCAUAUUUGAUGGGUUUAUAGGUCGGUAAGUGAUGCAUGCCUAAGUGGUGAAGUCUUAGAAAAUAUUUUCCUUACCAAACACCGAAAAAUAAUUUUCGAAACAUUUUCAAGUUUUAGCUUAACACUAGAAAAUAUUGUAAUUUUCCUAGAAAAUGAUUUUUGGAAAAAUAUUUUCCGGAAAUGACCAAUUUUUCACGAAACGAACGGACCCUUAGUCUCGGGAGUUUCUAUGUUACAUAUGAUCUAGUCCUUCAACUUUUCUAUUUGUAUACACUCAAAUCUUUUGUCAUAUUCAGUUUUUAUGCAGUUAAGUUUUAUUUUGUUCAUUCAAAUCAUUCAAUGUUCUCGACUAGUGCAAUUGAGUGCUUCACUCACCCAUCAUAACACACAAUUCCAUUUUUCUUUUUCCAAGUUUGCUUUUCGCUCAUUUGGCACCACCUCAACAUUGUGCGAUAUUUUCUACCUCAAUGAUAAUACUAUGUUAUUGAUUACUAUGACACAUUCAGCAAGAGGAUUUACUGAACGAUUUAAUUGCACGAAUCAAGAAAGUUAGAAGACUUGAUUGAACAAAAUAUAAAGUUAAGAGGAUCAAAUUGUGCCGAUAUGGAAAUUUGGAUGACUAAAAUUGCAUCAAACCCUUUUAUAGGGAGAUGGGUCAGCCACAAUAACAUAUUCUUUUUCAGUGACUGGCUUUGACACAACCAAUGCAACAUUAGUACGAAAAUGAAAGAUGAGUGGACAAAAGAAGGGCAACAGAUGUUAAACGAAACCUGUUUCCCAAAAGCACCAUGCAGAAACUUCCUUUCAUUGGAAAAUUUUUCUUGAAACGGAACUAAAGAUUACUGGCUUCGACAUAACCGAUGAACAUACCAAGAGCUGAGGCCUUAUCCAACAACAACGUGAAAAUGAAAAAUGAGUUGAAAAGAAUGGACAGCAGCUGUCAAAUUAAACAUUUUUUCCAUGUCUCGUUCAGAACUUGUCACUCCUUCAUUACAAUCUUGACCCUUUUGAAAUUGGAAGUGAAGGUUACUGGCUUCGACAUGACCAAUGUAUAACUUGUCGCUCAUGCAAUAUGGUAUAUAGAAAUGAAAGAUGAGUAGAAAAAGAAAUGGACGAUUGCUGUCAAAUUAAAACCUUUCCCAAGUCAACUUGUCGCUCCCCUUCCUUCCAUUAAAAUGCUUUUAUGGUGGAACUGAAGAUUACUGGCUUUGACACAACCAAUGUAAACCCUCCAAGAGGUGAGAGAACUUAUGCAAAAGUAUAAAAAUGAAAGACGAGUCAAAAAGAUGAGGACAAUAACCAAAUGCGUGCAACUCAAUUGCACUUUUUGAUAAGGAUAAACUGCACCUCUCCUCAUCAUUGAAAGAGAUAGGAUUAAACGCAGACGUGAUUGACAUAGAGAUUCUUACUAGAAAUUAAAUAAAAAUAAGUCUUUCUUGGUAACAGGAUGUUUGUUCUCGUGACCGUGUAGGUCUUUCUAGGUUCUCUGACGCGUGCCAUGAGGUCAUGGCAUGUUAUGCAACCAGAGAUAUCCAUUCCAUAUUUCUAUGGUAUCUAUCCAUCGUUACCUCCCGUGAACCUAAGAAGAACAAAACCAAUCCAUAAAGCUGGAGGAUCAAGAACAACCCGCCCUAAGUUAUUGAUGAACUGAGUUAACUGUUUGAAGCCUAAGUAGCGAAUCAUUUAAAGUUUAAGCUACUAAAAUGUCAGAUGCCAAACAGAAGGAAAAUCUACAGAGCCAACAUCUGCAUCGGAUCAACGAUGGCAUAUCAACAACUAAGGGAAAAAUCUGCUACUAAAUAUUUAUCUGAAACUAUAAGCGAGGAUCACGUUGCACUUGCAUAAGUCUGUUAACGCAGGUCAAUGGUCAUGUUCUGGCCAGCUAUGUAAGAAGUUUGAAAACUCUACACGGACAGGCACCAUUUGCAAGAAGACCUGUUCCCUCAAAUGCUCAUCUUUGUACUGAGCUGGAAAUGCUUUUAGCAGAUGACUGUGCCUCCAGAAACAAAUCGCAUGAAGUGGCCCACAAUUCUCUGGCAAGUCCAGUGUCGUACGAAACUAAAGAAGAGUUGAUAGUCCGGCCCUUCCCACCAAAGAAUACACACCAGAAAUUUCCUAUAUUUGCAAGACAGCGGCUAUUAGUAAGCACUGUUCCAACAUAUAAUAGCAGCCGCAUAAGAUUGAUACCACAGAUUAUCAGCAGAGAAGGGAAAAUCAAUUCUGGAAACACUCUGUCAUACCGUAGAAUCAACAUUAAUGGAUUUUACGUCCAAUGCUAGUACGACCUCAAUUGAGGAUAAAACGAGAGAGACUCAUUCAAGAUGGUUCAGAUAAGUGAAGCACCAGUACAGGAAUGCUUUACACCAGCCCCAUUUAGUGGGAAAAAAUCACUAUCACCCAUAUCUGCAGCUGUGGUUGCCUAUUGAGAUGAAACACAAGUGAUUUCAUUGCAGUCCCAUCUAGCAGUCCCAUCUAGCAUAUAGCAGAAAUUAAAGAUAACGAUUGCAGUCAGAAAAACACAUAAGAGAAUUGUUGCUGUAACUCUCGUUACUUUAUUCAUCAGAACAUAAGCCUAUUAAAUAGGCAGAACAUCCAAACCACUUAGCAAGAAAAUAGCUAUAGAACAACAACAACAAAGACCCACUAACACACCCCACUGACCAGAACAUGUGGAGAAACUAACUCCUAAAAACAAGCCAUUUCCUAUUGACUAGGACUCCACUAUUACAUUAUUGAAGACAUGUAAAAACUGAAAGUUAACUACUUCAACAAUUGAUGGUGUCACUUCAAGGAGUUCUCAAUGUCGAUCACGAAUCGAUACUUAACAUCUCUCUUGAUGAGCCUCUCUAGAGCUUCGUUGGCAUAAUCGAUCGGUAUCACUUCGAUAUUUGGGUAUAUCUUCUGCGCUGCACAUAGGUCUAUCAUUUCUUGGGUAUCCUUUGUUCCUCCCGUUAGGCUACCUGAAACAGUUCUCAUAUCUGCCAAAAGUUCACCACGAGCAACUUAGUUCACCUAUCAGGUAUAAAAUUUCAUUUAGUAAUCAGAUUUAAAACAAAAACAUACUGAGGUUAAGGCUGGCUGGACUGAAUUUAACUUCGCUUGAGCCGACCAAUGCUAGAAUGCCACCCGUCUUCAAAACAGACAUGUAAGGAUCAAACGGGUGAUUGCCGGAUGCCGUGUCAAUUAUAAAGUCCAGGGACUUAGCAAUGGCCUGCGUGCAUUGGAUUUAUCAGAUCACAACAGAAUUUGACCACCAUGGAUCUCAAUGUGGAUAAUUCUAGUUUUUCCUCUUUUUACCUUCAUCUGCUCUACGUCAGAUGAGAUAACGAAAUGGUCAGCCCCAAGCAGGCUCAGUGCUUCCUCCUUUUUAGAAAUGCUUGUACUAAACACUGUGACUUUCAGUCCAAAAGCCUUCCCAAACUUAACUGCCAUAUGACCGAGCCCGCCAAGUCCAAUUACACCUAGAGACUUACCAGGUUGGUUCAUCUUGUGACGUAUCAUUGGAGUGUACACCGUGAGUCCAGCACAGAGCAAUGGCGCUGCUAGAUCCAUCGGGUAGUUUUCUGGAAUCCUGAAGCAAUACCUGUCAAUGAAGCACCACAAUUAAGUUUCCAAAUAACACCAAGAGAGGAAGUGAUUUCCCAAUAGAAUCAGCAUCCUGUCUUUUUUGUCUAAAAGGAAUCAAAUCACAGAGCCAGAAAUCCUAUCUUCCGCAUGCUAAGGAAUUUUACUUGCUUAGACCACAAUUCAGCAUCAUGUUGUUUCCGUGAUCCUUGUUCUGACCACAAAUUGCUCAAGACAAACAUUUCUUGCUGUAGCAACAAAAAUAAAGCAAUUGCAGCAUACCGGAGGCCACACUCGAUUAAAAUUAAGAAAAGUCACUUGCUCUAAGAAAGGAAACUGGUGGCAUAUCACAUAUGCUUGAUUGAACACGUAAUUUCUGUAUUUCCUUCAAUCAAUUUCUCCAAGGGAGUCAAGAUUCCUGUGGUUCUAUCAGAUACAAGAAUUAGUGAAAGCACAUACAUUUAACUACCCAUUUGAUCUGAUACUUAUGAUCUAACUUUAACAAUCUAAGGACAGCUUAUUCCAUUCUUGACGAUGGUUACUGAAAAGAAAGAAUUUCUUUUUGCAUUUAAUAAAGCCAAUUCUCCAUUGAAUGGUUUCAAUGGUAAUUGGAUACAAAGGACUUAAAGACCCUCCAAAGCAGUUAUAGAAAGUAUCUUUAUCCCUUUCCACAUGAUGCAUUAUGCCACUUCUGGUCACAAUCAGAAUACGAAGAAAAUUAGCAGAGAAGAAGACAUGACAUGAAAUCUUUUUUUGGCCACCAUGAUUUGAAAUUCUUUCACAGUGCAAAAUGCUGCCUAAUAACAUUGUGUCAAUAAGCAAUUACCUUUCAUGGACGACAAUGUGACUAGAAUAUCCUCCCUUUGUCACUGUACCGUCCGUAUCGAUUCCGUCAAAAGUCAAAACCAUCUUUUCACAGUGGACUUCUAGCCCGUCAUUGCAAUACUCGCACUCUCUGCAUGAAUUGACAUAAGUUCCCACACCCACAUGAUCGCCAACUUUGAAGCGUUGGACACUGGAGCCAACCUGUUUCACAAUUCCAACUAUCUCGUGCCUGAAUCAAUCAAAAAAAUCAUUCGCAAAUUUUGUUCAGAGAAUUAUUAGGAUGGUGCUAAGAAAAAAGAUUAACAUUCGAAUCACGCUGCAUCCUACCCUGGCACCAGAGGAUACUUGGAGCGUCCCGACAUAUUCCUAGUCCAACCCACAUCUGCAUAGCACACUCCACAGUGCGUGAUCCUAAUCGAGACGUCAUCGCUUCCCACGGUCCUAAAGAGAGAAUUCCCAAACAGGUGAGCAUCUAAUCAAGCAACUAAUCAGACUCAGUUACCUUUUGUUCUCAUUUUCCAGAUCAAUAAACUAAGCGUGGCUUACAAUAAUCAUACAUUCAACCCAAAACAAAUUUUAAGAAAAGAGAAAUGAAAAGGAACCAAAUCCAAGACUAUAGCAUUUGUCUGAAUAGUGCGUACAACCUCAAAUGCUCACAAAGGCAGCACCUGAAUCCUAAUGUCUGCCAUGAAGUUCUAAGCAACUCAUUCUGGGACAUGACAUAUCAUGCGUACGAACAAUUCUCUACCCAGAAAUUAGUGCAUACACAACACAAUUUAUAAAAGAAAAACGAAAUGGUUUGGUCAAUGUGGAAAUUUAAAUAUAUGACAAGCAUCAAAAACUGUUUUGCAUUACAGGUGAGAGGAUAAGACCUGAGAACACUUUAUUGAGACUUAUUCAGACAAAUACUUCAAUAGAAAUUGAAAGUAUAAGGAGCAGAUGAAUUAAAUAAAGAACAGUGGUAACAGUAAUACCUGCGGCUGAAUUUGUAGGGGGAGAGAAGUCCAGAAGGAUCUCUGGCAGCCCAACCAAGACAAUCUUCCUUCGCACCCUCUGAACUCAUCGUUCCUCAACGACCUCAACUGAAAUCGACCCACAAAAAAAUUGCUGCGUUAAUCUCUCAAUAAGCUGAAUUAUGGAAGAAGAAGAAGAAUUAUUUUCGUGAAAGAGAAAUGAAGAAGAGAAUUUCAAACCGAAAAACAGAAGUUCAAAUGGUCAAAAGGCCAAAUGUCACGAAGACUUGGCAAUUCCGUUUCCGUGCAGACAAGAUUUUGCGGUCUGACUUUUGAGCAAAGAGCGAGAUUAGCAGAGAACGAGGUUGAGCGCUCAAAAAUAGUAAAAUUGGUUUUGUGUUUUGUGUUUUGAUUAGCAUAUUUGUCUUUUAAUUGUUUUUUGGCUAUGUGUGUAUAAGCAAGAGUUAUUCGGUUUGUAAACCGUCAAAGAAACGUGUGCUACAGCACCACGUCUCUCUAAGCCGCCGGAGAAGAAAAAUCAUGAAGAAAGUACAAGUAUCUUGGGCACACAAUAAAAUAUUAGUCUUGGCUAGCAAUAUUUUAUUCUCUCUGAAGACAGCAAGAAGAAGAGAUACGCAGCCCACGUUUUUUGACUGCCAAGAAGAAAAGUUCAACUUUAACUCUUGCACGUUUGAAGUCCAUGCGGUGAAGUGCUUUUAGAUAUAGGGUUACGUUAGUUUAGUGUGUGUGAGAGAGUGAGAGAGUGAGAUUUUAGAGAGAGUUUUAAGCUUAGCAAAGUUAGUGUAUGUACUCUCUUAAGCCUUUAUAAAAGCAUAUUGUGUAAUAUAAUCUCUCUAUGUGUGUACUCUCUCCCUCCAAGUCCUUUUGGUUCCAACAAUUGGUAUCAGAGCUAGCAAUGGCAUCCACUGGUUCUGUUCAGUUGCAACUUCCAAAGUUGAACGGAAAAAAUUACAACAACUGGUCCGUCCAGAUGAAGGUUCUAUUCAGGUCCCAAGAUUUGUGGAACCUGGUGGAGAACGGCUACACCGAAGUAGCUGAUGCUGAAGAAUUCAAUGCUUUGAGGAAGGAGGAGAAAGAAGCGUUGGUGGAAUCUCGAAAGAAAGAUCAGAAAGCAUUAUAUGCGAUCUUUCAAGCUGUGGAGGAGACGAUAUUUGAAAAAAUAUCGAGUGCGGAGACAGCGAAAGAAGCGUGGGAUAUAUUGCAAAAAUCCUACAAAGGCGAUGAUCGUGUCAGGCGGGUGCGGCUCCAAACACUUCGAGGAGAUUUUGAGUCUUUAUGCAUGAAUGACUCAGAAUCUAUCUCGGCUUACUUUGAUCGUGUACAAACCAUCGUUAACCAACUGAGGGUUAAUGGUGAAGAGCUCCAAGAUGUAUGAGUCGUAGAAAAAAUCUUGAGGUCUUUGACUGAAAGAUUUGACUACGUUGUUGCGGCAAUCGAAGAAGGCCAAGAUAUAUCAACCAUGACGUUGGAGAGGUUGAUGGGUUCAUUAUGUUCGCAUGAGCAAAGAAUGAACCAGAAGUCUAUCAGUUCGAAUUCUGAGCAAGCACUGCAGAGUCGGGUCACUCAAUCAAAUCGAGGAGGUCAUCAUGGUGGCAGAGGUCGUGGAGGUCGUGGAGGUGCUGGAGGUAGAGGUGGAAAUCUGAAUUCCACUAAAAGAUAUAAAACACGUGACAAAUCAAAAGUCAAGUGUUUUAACUGUAACAAAUUCGGACAUUACAAAUCCGAAUGUCAAGCAAACAUGAGGCAAGAGCAGCCAGAAUAUGUGCACGCUGUCGAUGCAAAUGAAGGCGUGGUGUUAGCAUACCAAAUGGAUGACUCAAGUACCAUGGACACAAAAAUUUGGUACCUUGAUACUGGGUGCAGCAAUCACAUGUGUGGUCAAAAGGAGCUAUUUUUGAAGUUAGAUGAGACGGUCGUGGUGAAGUCAACUUCGGGAAUAAAUCCAAAAUUCUCGUGAUGGGCAAAGGUAACAUUGAUAUCAACUCAAAAGAUGGUACUAAUGUUACUAUUGCAGACGUUUACUUUGUGCCGGAACUCUUUUGGAAUUUGCUGAGUGUUGGGCAACUAUCCGAAAAAGGCCACAAAGUUAACAUUGAAAAUGGUGUGUGCACCAUUAGAGGCGCAAACAAUAAGUUGAUUACGACGACACAGAUGAUGAAGAACCGGAUGUUUCCUCUAUCCCUUCAGACGAAGACUCUAUUGAGUUUCCAAGCAACGACAAAAGAUAGCAAGUGGCUAUGGCAUCUUCGGUUCGGUCAUCUAAAUUUUCGUGGACUUAAAUUACUAGUCCAGAAAAAGAUGGUGACUGGCAUGCCCUUGAUCGACGCUCCAGACCACUCAUGUGAAGGAUGUCUCGUUGGAAAGCAACAUCGGAAAUCUUUUCAAAUUGGGAGAGCUAGAAGAGCCAAGCAACCUCUGGAGUUGGUACAUACAGAUAUCUGUGGCCCUGUUGAGGUGGAAUCAUUUGGACAAAAAAGGUACACGCUAAUUUUUGUCGAUGAUUUUACUAGAAAAACAUGGGCUUAUUUUUUGAGAGAAAAAUCUGAAGCUUUUGGCAAAUUUAAAGAAUUCAAAGUCUAUGUUGAGAAACAGAGUGGCUUUAAUUUAAAGACAUUGAGAUCGGAUAGAGGUGGAGAGUUUACUUCCAAUGAAUUUGACAAUUAUUGUAAAAUUCAUGGAGUGAAACGUCAGUUGACUGCUAGCUAUACUCCUCAGCAAAACGGUAUAGCAGAAAGAAAGAAUAGAACAAUUUUUGAAAUGGCAAGAAGUAUGCUAAAGGCUAAAGCAUUACCGAAGAAGUUUUGGGCAGAAGCCGUUGCUUGUGCUGUAUUUGUGAUGAACAGGUGUCCAACAAGGAGUGUUCUUGGAAGAACCCCAGAAGAGGCUUGGAGCAGCAACAAGCCAGAUGUUUCGUUCCUACGGGUAUUUGGGUGCGUAGCAUAUCCCCAUAUACCGGAUGAACGAAGAAAAAAGUUGGAUGAUAAAAGCGAGAAGUGCAUUUUCAUUGGAUAUAGUAAUGUGACUAAGGGUUAUAAGCUAUAUAAUCCUGUCACGGAGAAGGUAAUUAUUAGCAGGGAUGUCCAAUUUUUUGAAGAUGAAGCCUGGGACUGGAAUCAAAAGGCUGACCAGAAAGACAUUACUAUGGAAGAUGAACCAUUAGUGAGGGAGACCGAAGAAUCUUCAAUUGAAGAUCCAUCACUUUCACCUGGUAAUUCAUCCUCCUCACCAGCAAAGACUGCAGAACCAUUGAUUCGUCGUUCACAACGACCGCAGAAGACGCCAGUAAAAUUCAAGGAUUAUGUGGUCACAAGAGUUGAUCAUAAUGACAGUGACGAAAUCACUGAUGAAACAAUGGUAAACUUUUGUUUAUUUACCGAAUGUGACCCCAUAUCCUAUGAUGAUGCAGCAGCAGAUGAGAAGUGGAACCAAGCAAUGGAUGAAGAAAUCCACUCCAUUGAAAAGAAUGACACGUGGGUGCUAACUUCUUUACCACUUGGUAAGAAGCCUAUAGGUGUCAAGUGGGUGUACAAAACAAAGUGCAAACCCAACGGUCAGGUGGACCGUUACAAAGCUAGACUGGUGGUGAAAGGCUACAAGCAAAAGCCAGGUAUUGAUUAUUUUGAAGUAUUUGCACCAGUGGCUCGAAUGGAUACCAUUCGAAUGAUCUUGGCACUUGCAGCUCAGAACCAUUGGAAAAUCCAUCAAAUGGAUGUGAAAUCGGCAUUCCUUAAUGGUUUUCUCGAUGAGGAAGUAUAUGUGGAGCAACCACAAGGUUAUGUGAAGAAAGGGCGUGAAAAUCAAGUUUAUAAACUGAAAAAAGCGUUGUAUGGGCUAAAACAGGCACCUCGAGCUUGGUACACGAGGAUUGAUACUUACCUGUUGGAGCAUGGCUUUCAAAAGUGCCCUUAUGAGCAUACACUGUAUAUCAAAUCAAAUACUAACGGCGAUAUUAUAAUUAUUUGCCUUUAUGUUGAUGAUUUGAUAUUUACAGGAAGCUGUGAGAAGAUGUUUGCUGAAUUCAAGGAGGCCAAGACAAGUCAAUUUGAGAUGACAGAUUUGGGAUUAAUGUCCUAUUUUCUGGGCCUUGAAGUGAAGCAGACAAAUGAAGACAUAUUUGUUUCACAGCAGAAGUAUGCUAAUGAUAUUUUGAAGCGAUUCAAUAUGGAAAUGCUCAAAUCAAUUCGAACUCCUGUAGCAGAACGGUUGGAGUUGAGGAAAGAAGGAACCGGUGAACUGGUAAAUCCCACUUAUUUUAAAAGUAUUGUUGGCAGUUUAAGAUAUUUGGCUACCACUAGGCCAGAUAUAACUUAUGGCGUGGGAAUUAUUAGUCGGUUUAUGGAGAAACCAUACCAAUCACAUUUGCAAGCAGCAAAAAGAAUUUUAAGGUAUGUCAGUGGAACUCGUGAUCAUGGAAUUUUAUAUUCUUACACUGACAACUUCAGUUUAGUGGGGUAUACAGACAGUGAUUGGGCAGGUGAUACUGAAACACGGAAGAGCACUUCCGGAUAUGCGUUCUUUCUUGGAUCAGGAAUAAUUUCUUGGUCAUCAAAGAAACAACAAGUUAUUGCACUCUCAACAGUUGAAGCAGAAUACAUUGCAGUAUCUUCAGCAGCAUGUCAGGCGAUGUGGCUUCGAAGGAUGCUUUUUGAGCUUAUGCAUGAACAAAAAGGUCCUACUAAAUUGAUGUGUGAUAACAAGUCAGCGAUUGCAUUGGCCAAGAAUCCCGUAUUUCAUGGCAGGAGCAAACAUAUCGACAUCAAGUAUCAUUAUAUUCGUGAGCUGAUUAAAGAAUGUGAGAUUGAACUUGAUUUCUGUAAAUCCGAAGACCAGAUUGCAGAUAUUUUGACAAAACCAUUGAAGGCAGAUUUGUUCGAGAAAUUGAAGACAAUGCUUGGUGUCGUAGUCUUACAAAAUCAAUUUUAAGGGAGGCUGUUAGAAAAUAGUAAAAUUGGUUUUGUGUUUUGUGUUUUGAUUAGCAUAUUUGUCUUUUAAUUGUUUUUUGGCUAUGUGUGUAUAAGCAAGAGUUAUUCGGUUUGUAAACCGUCAAAGAAACGUGUGCUACAGCACCACGUCUCUCUAAGCCGCCGGAGAAGAAAAAUCAUGAAGAAAGUACAAGUAUCUUGGGCACACAAUAAAAUAUUAGUCUUGGCUAGCAAUAUUUUAUUCUCUCUGAAGACAGCAAGAAGAAGAGAUACGCAGCCCACGUUUUUUGACUGCCAAGAAGAAAAGUUCAACUUUAACUCUUGCACGUUUGAAGUCCAUGCGGUGAAGUGCUUUUAGAUAUAGGGUUACGUUAGUUUAGUGUGUGUGAGAGAGUGAGAGAGUGAGAUUUUAGAGAGAGUUUUAAGCUUAGCAAAGUUAGUGUGUGUACUCUCUUAAGCCUUUACAAAGGCAUAUUGUGUAAUAUAAUUUCUCUUUGUGUGUGUACUCUCUCCCUCCAAGUCCUUUUGGUUCCAAUAGCCAUAGCGUCGCCUGUUCUUGAUUUUUUUUUUUCGUUUUAUCUUGUGGAAAAGAAUUAGUGCCAAACGUAAGCCAUUACCUUUCCCUAGCCAAUGAAGUAUGCAGUGACGUCUUCUGGAGUACGGUUCUUGGUAUUUGUGGAAAUGUGUGUUUGAUGUGUAUUUUGUGUGUGAACUAUCAAGAGAGCAAAAGAACUAAGAAACAAUGUAAGCAAGAAAUAGUUGGGCAAAAUAAUAAUGGGAAUGUGAAAAAGAGAAUGAGGCUGAGGCAGCAAACGAGAGAAAUUUGAAUGAAAGUCGACAAUAGUGGCUGAAGAAGAAACUAGUAUGUGGACAGAAAGAGUACUUGGAGAAGAAGAAAAUGAGUUGUCUUGUAGCUGUACUAUGGCAGUGAAAAAGUGAAAAAUGUCAUGUCGGUUGUAAUUGCUUACAUAGGCUUAUAGUUCAUUCAUAUGAUGUGUGUGAGGUGAACCCUCCACCUUGUGUGGGGUGAACCUCCACUGUGAGAGGUCUUAGACCUCCACCAUGACCAUAUGAAGAGUGACUAUCAACACCUCCAUUAAAUUAUUUUGUCUUCUUCAAUAAGUUCUUGACAGCUGGAGUUUGAUGAAGAAACUUUGCUUCGUGCUUUCCACUGCUUGCUAUUUCCCAUGCACGUAGACUUCUUUAGCCUAUUCUAGGAUUUCUUCUUCAACUUGCUUUUUCUUACUUGCAUUCCCAUGUGAAUCUUUUAGGUUCAGCUAGCAACCAUCAUUCUCAACAAUUCUAAACAAUCUUCAACAUGGAUGCUGCUACCAACGUUUAUUAAUUUCUAGACAGUUUUAGAGAAAAUGAAUUAUAAUUUCCAACAUAUAGUAUUUUGGAGAAAAAAGUAUUUCAGCAUAACUGUGCAAGGAUUUGUAGAUCACUACAAUAUCACCGGAGGCAAAUAAUUAUCCGUCAUUGACAUGACCAAUAUAGCAAAAAUUCUUUUAAUUGUUUACCUUAGUUUAGCAAGAUCUGCUUAAAUGACAGCCUUGAGUAUCUUCAAUUCCUUUUCUCUUGCCUUCAAAAAGAUAUUGAAAUGCAACGCGGAAUAUCAAGACAGAUUGUCAUUGACAAAGCCGUAAAAGCCUACUCGAUCUGGCAAAACUGGGGACUGUUCUUUCCAACGAUCUUGCCCACCUCGGCAGCUGCUGUGCAAAUGGAUAGGAAUGCAUGCAGAGGGACAAGCUGAUUGUUACCUGCUUUUAGUCGUUCAUUUGAAACUGUAAGAUUCACGUGCCAUAAGAUAGCUAGACAAGCGGGCAAAAAAUGAUGCGCCUUGCACCGAAGGUGGCAAGAGCAAUUAAAUUAAAUUCAAAACAAAAAAAGCUUGAUGCAUAAAAUGAAAAGUCAUCCUUUGAGCGAAUAAAUGACAAAGUAAGUGCAAUGAGAGUCACUAAUGUUCACGCUAGACUUAUGCCAUGACCAUUCCUUAGCCGAGAGAACGUAAGCAGCGACAUCUUCUAGAUAGUGGUUACUAGCAAAUUUUUUUUUUUUAUCCCCAGCCUAAUCAAAUUAUCCGAGUUAUAAGCUCAGAAAGAAGUCAAUGAGCAAUCUACCGCUAGGACCUAUGAAUGGUCAUACGAUGUUGGUUACACAUCUUGUUAGAAUAUAAUAUGCGGAAAUAAUAAAAUCUUGCAAUUUACGUCAACGCACAAAUUCCAGAUAAAUAAACGAGAAAUAAUAAGAACACUAUAAAUUUACUUGAUUCGGUCCGAGUAUCGAUAUCUACAUCCACAAGGAGAGCCAGCAGCAAAUAAUCCAUUAUAAUCGGAAAAUCAAAGUUUACAAUCGCCCACACGCUCGAUUGCUUCCCACACCAAGAUUUAAGCUCAUAUUCAAAGAGUUUAUAAAUAAACAAUUCACUUGGAAAUUAUCCCGCGUUCAAGCUUUAAACAAAACAUUCUACAUACGCCAAAAACAAGAACUCGGGCAUUUGUCUUUUGGUUCGCGUACGUACGGAUUCGCGUUCUUCUUUGCUCGAUCGUUCGUGCGGCGCUGUUCUAGACGCUCCUUUUGUGUGGCUCUUUCUUCUUCGUAGGGCUCCAGCGACUCUUUCUUAAAAAAAAAAACAAAGACGUGUUCUAUUUUAUAUGUGAGCCUAGAGUCUAACAACUUUGACUUUGAGCCCACCAUGUGCUUCUUUCUUCAAUGGGAAGUGGGACGCUGCAGAAGUUAAGACUUUGACUUUGGGCCCACGUAGACAGCCUUGUUCGGCUCCGUUAGAUAGAUAAAGAAGAAUCUUUGCUCCUUUUUUUUAUUCUAUUUUAUUUUCUCUUUUAUAAACUUUCAUGGAGUCCAACGAAGCCUAACGAAGCCUUUUUUGUUGACCGAAAAUAUCCAAGACCCAAAAAGAAUUUCGAAUUUCUUUUUUUGUGCAUAAUCUUGAAUAUUAUCUUCAUCAGAAAAAUAUCUUCACGAUCAAAUAAUAAAAAUUUUAUCCAAACAAAUCGUGUUUUGCAAACACUCAAACUCGAGACAUAAUUUAACACAUCUGACAUGAUGUACUGCCCAAUUACUAUCCUCUGACAAUUUAUAUUUGAUUAAUCUAUUUCAAGAAUAUUCAUUUGUUAGACUUGUUGGCUUACACGUCACUGUCACUGUCACGUGAUAUAUCUUAUAUUGAGAAUACUCAAAGAGCUUUUACUCCAGAUACUUGGGAGCAUCUAUGAUUGUUUUAUGUAUAUUAUGCUUGUGAUGCAUCUUGUUUUGAGUGGACUAUAGAAAUAUUUAAGUUCAUGCCAAUUUGACUAAUAUUUUAUCUGGAUAAGUGCAUUGGAAUAUUUAAAAUUUAUCAUAAAAAUAUAAUUAAGCCAUGAAACUUUGAAAUCAAGUUCUAGAACUUUGUCACAUUGGUCUAAUCUAAAUCCUUCCAUUGCAUUUUUGAAAAUUUUAGUACUUAACUACAAUUUUCUGACAAGUUUUAGUAUUUUUAAUAUACAUAUUUUUUUUCAACCUCACUAAUGUUUUUAAGCAACAAUGAGCUUGACAUAUCUCUGAUUUUGGAAUUUCAAUGGCUAUAGGAAACAAAAGGACGUCCUCUAAUGAAUCGACAAUCUUCUGCCAUGAUAAAGCUGGAAGAGAGAUGAGUGUCUUCCAUAGUUAUAAAAAAUGUUAAUGCGAUAAUCUGUAGGAAUUCGUCUUCCUGACGUGCAUGAAUAUUUCCGGCCAUGAAACAUUUCACAAUGAAGACAUUCUUGUUGUAAUUAUGGUUAUAAUGGAUCAAAGGAAGCCAAUAAAUUAAGAUACGUUUUUUCUGUUCACGUAUCUCUUUUUGGAUUCAUGAAUUUCCUAUACUUUUAUGUUCACGUAUCUAUUGAAUUCAUGAAUUUCUUAGAUUCAUGUAUCGUUUAGUUCAUGUAUUUAUUGAGUUCAUGAAUCUAUUGAAUUCACGUAUCGUUGGAUACCUGAAUCUCUUGGAUUCACGUAUCUCUUUAUUCAUGAAUCUCGUGGAUACACGCGUCUAUUUAAUUCAUGUAUCUCUUUAGUACAUGAACUAAAAAGCUCUAUAAAUAGAUAUGAGCAUAGAGCUUCAUAAGAGUUUUUGGUUUUCCCGAUUCGAUUCCAAAAGGAGCUUUGAUGUCCUUUUCUACUAUUCUGUUUUUCCUGAGUGUGCUGGUUCAAUUGAACGGUUCGACAAAGUCCUGUUUGCAUAGUGCUAAUCCAAACAGGUUCGAGGUGUUGUAUCUUGGAAGGCAUAGUUCGUGAAUCUGCGGGGCACCUUUGGCAGGAACUAAUCGCCUUAAGGAGAUUCGGUUAUCCGUACCUCACCUCCAAUUUUAUGUUAUAUCUUAUUUUCUUCUUCUCCAAGAUUUGUAAAGGGAAUGAAAUUAUAAAGUUGUUAUCAUCUUCUUUACUUUCAUGUUCUGAUUGCAACAAACAAUGUGCUUUCUCUGGAUUAAUUUCCAACAAUCUUAAGGCGAUUAUCUCACACUAUUUGUUGUUCUUGUCAUAUUAUUGAGAUGGCUGGAAACAACCAAGUGCCCUUCAAUGUCCCAAAUGUUUCUGGAGAUGUUCCUAUGGUCGAUUCGACCGUUGCUAUGGAAGAUGUUCAAUCCUCAGGGUCUGAAUUUGUAGCAGCCAAUGCUACGGACCCUUGGGCUAACAUCAAUUUUGGUGGUGCGGGUACAAGUCAUACGACUGGUAUGCCCGGGACUAUUUUUCAUAACAGUACAAGCCAAAUGGCUUUUGGCUCCAUUUCUGGAGGGAUGGUUCAACGAACUUUGCCUACUGUGAUGGCAACGCCUCCAGUUACAGCUAAUGAAAAACUAGAGAAAUUCACCGAAGUGGGCUUUAAACAGUGGCAGCAUAAGAUGUUCUUCUAUCUGACCAUGCUCAAUCUGACGAAAUAUUUAUCGGAGAUGUGCCCGAUAAUUAGUCCAAAUGAGCAAGAUGUCACGACGCUCGGUGCGUUGGAGGCUUGGAAGCAUGGGGACUUCUUAUGCCGAAAUUAUAUCCUUAAUUGUUUAGUGAAUUCUCUUUAUAAUGUUUAUUGUAAUAUUGAAUCUGCUAAAUAGUUAUGGGAGUCCUUAGAGAAAAAAUACAAAACUGAGGAUGCCAGCACCAAGAAAUUUGUGGUUGCCAAAUUCUUGGACUACAAGAUGGUGGAUUCUAAAUCUAUCAUGAGUUAGGUUCAAGAAUUGCAAUUAAUUCUGAGUGACAUCUCGGCUGAGGGAAUGAUACUUAGUGAAUCAUUCCAAGUGGCGACUAUGAUUGAGAAAUUACCUUCGGGUUGGUCAGACUUCAAAAAUUAUUUGAAGCACAAACGGAAGGAGAUGAGCCUUGAAGAUCUCAUUUUGCGCCUCAGAAUCGAGGAGGACAAUAGAAGGAGUGCGAAUCCUUCUUCUGAGCCAAAGGCCAAUGUUGUGGAAUCUUCCAAAUCCAAGCAAGAUAGAAAAAGGAAGAUGUCUUUUCAAGGAAAAGGCAAGCAGAAGGAGCAGUUCCAAAAAUUCCAAGGAACGUGUUUCAUAUGCAACAAGCCUGGCUAUCGUGCUAAGGAUUGCAAGAAGCGCCUGAAAAAAAAGGCAAGAACGAAGGUGCAGCCCAGCAACUGAAUUUGACAGAAUAUGACAAUAUUGAGAGACUGUCUGCUGUGGUAAUGUCCGAAGCAUCUCUGGUGUCGAAUACUAAUGGCUGGUGGCUAGACACGGGUGCCACAAAUCACAUCUGUGCAGAUAAACACAUGCUCUCAUCUUAUGAGAAGGCUGAAGAAGAUGAGAAGAUUUAUAUGGCUAACUCUGCAUCAACAAAGAUUGCCGGAAGAGAAACGGUGAUCCUGAAGUUUACAUCUAGCAAGGAGGUCGCCCUGCUGAAUGUGCUGCAUGUACCAGAGAUUUGGGAAAAUCUAAUUUCUUGCCCUAUACUUGUCAAGAAGGGUUUCAAAAUUGUAUUUGAAUAUGACAAGUUUGUACUUUCAAAAGGAGGGAUGUAUGUGGGGAAAGGGUACUUGUGUAAUGACUUGUUUAAGACCAAUGUGGCUGUCAUUGAUGUAAACUCAAAGUAUGGAGGUUGGGACACCUAGAGUGCCAUAACUUGGCAUGAAAUGACACUUAAGUGCCAUAACUUUAAAAUGGUACACUUAAGUGCCAAUAUCGAAGUAAAAUAGAACACUUAAGUGCCACUCCGGCGAAAAUCCGGCCAAAUGGCUGACGUGGCAAUUUUCCGGCGAGUUUGGUCCAAAACGGCGUCGUUUUGCACCCUGACGUAGCGGAGAAAACGCAAAAACGACACCGUUUCGUGUCUACGUGUAAAUAAUAAUAUAUAAAUUAAUUAAAUUAGAUUUAAAAUAUUCAAAAAAUUAAAAAAAUUGUAAAAUUUUAAAAAAAAUUAAAAAUUAAAUUUAAAAAAUUAAAAAAUUAAAAAUUAAAAAUUAAAAGGGGGGGAGGUCAAACAGGGCAGCUCCCUUUCGUCGCUCACUACGCCCUUCCUCGUCUCUGGGUGCGUAGGUAUCCACCGUAAGCCUUUCCUCGUUUGAACCUCGCCCUUCACUUUAAGGCUAUGCCAUCAUAAGGUGCUGCUAAAUGGAAGGAUCUUAUCAACGUCCAUGAAUGAGAAAUCAUAGAUCGAACUGCCGAAUCGGAAAAAUUUGGUGCUAUCAUAUAGCUUUGUAUCGGCUAAGUUCACGAGUUGGAGAUAAGCGGACUCGAAACCGCUGACAUCCGCCNNNNNNNNNNNNNNNNNNNNNNNNNNNNNNNNNNNNNNNNNNNNNNNNNNNNNNNNNNNNNNNNNNNNNNNNNNNNNNNNNNNNNNNNNNNNNNNNNNNNCCCAUCCGUCGCCGGCCCUUCCCGACGACGGCGGGGAGGCGGCGGCGGCGGCGAGGGAGCCGCCCCGUUCGACCUCCCCCACCCUUUUUUUUUUAAAUUUUUUAAAUUUUUUAAAUUUUCUUUUUAAAAAAUUUUUAAAAUUUUUUGUUUUUAAAAUUUUUGAAUAUUUUAAAUUUAAUUUAAUUAAUUUUUAAAUUAUUAUUUACACGCAGACAUGAAACGGCGUCGUUUUUGCAUUUUCUCCGCCACGUCAGCGUGCAAAACGACGCCGUUUUGAACCAAGCUUGCCGGAAAGUCGCCACAUAAGCCAUUUGGCCGGAUCUUUGCCGGAGUGGCACUUAAGUGUCCCAUUUAACUUCAAAACUGGCACUCAAGUAUACCAUUUUAAAGUUAUGGCACUUAAGUGUCCCUCGGUGCCAAGUUAUGUCACUUGGGCUGUACUUCUGCCCAAAGUAUGUGUACCCAAAAACUAUUAAUAAAGAAAAGUCUUCGGUUUACAUUGUUGUGUCUCCUUAUCUAUGGCAUGGUAGAUUAUGACAUGUAAACUAUGGUACAAUGAAGAGAAUAGCAAACUUGGGGUUAAUUCCAAGAUUUGAGUUGGAUGCCCGUUACAAGUGUGAGACUUGUGUUGAGGCCAAGUUUGCCAAGAAACUUUUCAAAUCCAUUGAAAGAACAAGUGAACCUCUACAAUUAAUCCAUAGUGAUUUAUGUGAUUUAAAGUUUGUAGAAAGUAGAGGUGGAAAGAAGUACUUCAUCACAUUUGUGGAUGAUUGUACUAGAUUUUGCUAUGUUUAUUUACUAACUAGCAAAGAUGAGACUAUGAGCAUGUUUGUCAAGUAUAAAAAUGAAGUUGAAAACCAACUUGAUAAACGAAUCAAAGUGCUUAGGUCUGAUAGAGGAGGAGAAUACAGUUCAAUCAAUUUGAAAGAGUUUUGUGCUAGUUUUGGAAUAAUUCUCCAAACGACUGCACCUUAUACUCCACAACAAAAUGGAGUUGAUGAACGAUUGAACAGGACACUAAAGGAGAUGGCUAAUGCCAUGCUUUUGAGUUCAGGUUUACCUCAGAACUUGUGGGGGGGCAGUUUUAACUGCAGAUUAUAUUUUUAAUGAAGGCUAGGUAAAACUCCAUACGAGUUAUGGAAUGAAAAGUUACCAUCCUACAAUUUUCUAAAAGUGUGGGGGUGCAUAAUGUGAUUUAUAAUGGUAAGUCUAGACAUAUUCGUUGUAGACAUAACACCAUAAGGCAGUUGCUCUCAAAUGGAAUCAUUUCUUUAGACUUUGUAAAGUCAAAGGAAAAUAUUGCGGAUCCGCUGACAAAAGGUUUGUUGAAAGAGCAUAUAAACUGCGCAUCGAGGGGAAUGGGUUUAAGAGCCUUAACCCAAUAAAGAGAUUCCAUGAUGGAAACCUAACCUAUGCGAUUGGAGAUCCCAUGGACUAGGUUCAAUAGGACAACGCAAAUUUUGGAAACUCUAGUGUAAGCAUUGUCUCUCAUUCUUAUGAUGCAACAAUACUUUCCUACAGCGUUAUUAAGGGUACGCUAUGCGUUUAAUGAUUCCUAUAACUUGGAAUGUAACAUCCAAGUAACAUCCAAGUAAGAUAUGGUAGGAUAUCUUUAAUAGGAAUGCACCUAUAUGCGUGGAGCUGGCCGACUCUAUGAAAAUCUUUAAAUGCUAGAUUUUCUAAAGCACGCACGAAUCCCAAGAGGUUCAGGGCCGAAAGAACGAACACAACCGAGAACCAAUCUUGAAUUGGAAAUACUCCGUGUGAGGUUUAUUGUCUAAGCUUACACAAACAACUGGUAAUUCAAGGCUUAGUCCAUCGACUAGUUAAGUAAGUCCGAUAAGCUUUCACUAAAGAAGGUUCAAAGCGAAAGCUACCUAUCUUGAUGCGGUUUAUUUCAACAGGCAUGCUCAGAUUCCUUCGAGUCAAAAAUAUUUUGUUGAUCCAUUAAUGUGGGGGAUUGUUGUAAUUAUGGUUAUAAUUAUAGUUAAUGGAUCAAAGGAAGCCAAUAAAUUAAGAUACGUUUUUUCUGUUCACGUAUCUCUUUUUGGAUUCAUGAAUUUCCUAUACUUUUAUGUUCACGUAUCUAUUGAAUUCAUGAAUUUCUUAGAUUCAUGUAUCGUUUAGUUCAUGUAUUUAUUGAGUUUAUGAAUCUCUUGAAUUCACGUAUCUUUGGAUACAUUAAUCUAUUGGAUUCACGUAUCUCUUUAUUCAUGAAUCUCGUGGAUACACACGUCUAUUUAAUUCAUGUAUCUCUUUAGUACAUGAACUAAAAAGCUCUAUAAAUAGAUAUGAGCAUAGAGCUUCAUAAGAGUUUUUGGUUUUCUUGAUUCGAUUCCAAAAAGAGCUUUGAUGUCCUUUUCUACUAUUCUGUUUUUCCUGAGUGUGCUGGUUCAAUUGAACGGUUCGACAGAGUCCUGUUUGCAUAGUGCUAAUCCAAACGGGUUCGAGGUGUUGUAUCUUGGAAGGCAUAGUUCGUGAAUCUGCGAGGCACCUUUGGCAGGAACUAAUCGCCUUAAGGAGAUUCGGUUAUCCAUACCUCACCUCCAAUUUUAUGUUAUAUCUUAUUUUCUUCUUCUCCAAGAUUUUUAAAGGGAAUGAAAUUAUAAAGUUGUUAUCAUCUUCUUUACUUUCAUGUUCUGAUUGCAACAAACAGUGUGCUUUCUCUGAAUUAAUUUCCAACAAUUCUGUCACUUAAACUGGCAAAAGGAUAUCGAGCUUGUUCUUUUGGCGAGUGUAUUGCCGUUAAAUAUGCCAAUUAAUUCCACGACUAUUAGCAUUUGUUUAAAUAGAGCAUACAACCUAAAAUGCUCACAAUGGCAGCUGGUACUGGAUCCUCAUGUCUGCCCAUGAAAUUCUGAGUGCCUCAGACAUGGCAUAUCAUGCACACAAACAAUUCUCAACCCAGAAAUUAGUGCGUACACAACAAGAGUUAAAAAAGAAAAAAAAAAUGAUUUGGUUAAUGUGGAAAUUUAACAUAAUGACAAGCAUAAAAAACUGUUCAGCAGUACAGUAGAGAGGUCAAGACCUGAGAACACUGUAUUGAGACUUAUUCAGAUCAACACUUCAGAUAGUCACUGAAAAGCUAAGGAGCAGAUGAAUUGAAUAAAGAACAAUGGCGAUGAUAAUACCUGCGGCUGAAUUUGUAGGGGGAGAGAAGUCCUAGAAGCCGUCAUUGAUGCCAUAGCGAUGGAUGUUCAUGAUUAAUCUUUGAGCUUACUAUUGUGGAAAAGUAUUAGUGAUUCGCCAAACGUAACCCAUGACCCUUCCUUAACCAAAGAACGCAUGCAAUGACAUCUUCUGGAGAGCGGCUCCUGGAAUUUUUCCAUCCAUCCUCCCACAACCUAAUUGCAUUAUCAACCUAUUGACACAUAAAAUAUGUCAAUAGGCAAUGUGCCGUUGCACCACAGGACCCGCAAAUGGUCAUCUAUGUCAGUUACACUGCCAAUAAUUUGUACCUGACCCUUCAUGGUCCUAUUAUUCAGUUAAUCUGUUUAAAGAACAUUCAUUUUCUUCAAACAUGCUUUCUCACGUGCCACUAUAAUAUGAUGUGUAUAUACUAUCUCUUCAAGAGCUUUGACUCCUAUAUACUUGGGACAUUAAAUUUUUUUAGCAACAAUGAGAUCGGCAUAUCUCUGUUUUCGGGAUUUCAGUUGCUAAGGGAAACAAAAAGGACGUCCUCUAAUGAAUCAACAGUAUUUUGCUAUAACAAACCUGGAAGAGAGAUGAGUGUCUUACGUAGUUACAAAAACAAUGAUCACGCAAUUGUUGGUAGAAAUUUAAUCUGUUGACGUGCAUGAACAUUCUGAACAAAAAACGGAAAACGUGCAUGAACAUUUCCGGCCGGGAAGCAUUCACGAGGAGCUGAGAGGCACUCUAUUUCUUAAAGCAGCAAAAUGAUUACGAGCUUGUUCUUUUGGUGAGUGGAAUGAAUAAAUUGUACAAAAAAUCCUAAACUUAUUGUCCGAUCACUAAUUUAAUUCUGAACUUUUUAAUUUGAUCAAUGUUUUUAAAAACUUUUGACGAUUUUUUGUAGUCCACCUAGUUAAAUUUAGGUCGAAAAUCAGUGAUGGAGCAAUUUAGUAAACACUAGCCGUUUUAAGUGAUAUAACCGAUAGCUGAUAUAGAUGAUCUUAAAUGAUGUGGCGUCGUUUCACAAUUUUUUAAUAUUCUUUCUUCUUCUUUUUUUUCUUUUUUAGUAAUUUUUUUCCUAUUCUUUGGUUCUCUUGUGUUCAUUUUCUUCCCUCCGCCGAUGGCCGAUGCCUCAGCAAUGAUCGGCGACCAUCAUAGGCUACAAGUGAGGGCAUUGAGCGAGACUUGCAAGCCUUCUCCUAGAUUUGGGCAAGGGCCCUAUAGGCCCUCACUGGCCGUAGGCAAGGUUGGGAACUUGCAAGCCCUUGCCUAGAUCUACCCUCGCAUGGGGUCAAUGCCUGCCAUCACCAAAGCCUCAAUGUCUUGCUCUGGAAAGAAAAUGAACAGCAGAGAAGGAGACGAUAGGAAAAGAAAGAAAAAAGAAAAAAAGAGGAAAGGAAAAAGAAAAAAAUCUGAAAAUAAUAACAAAAAAAUUGCAAAAUGACGUUGUUUCAUUUAAGAUCAUCCAUGUCAAUCGCCAAUCAUGCAACAUGGCCUACCUUGUUGGAUGUAGUAGAUUUAGGAUAUUUUGAAUAUUUUUCUCCUAUUAAAUAUGCCUAGUUUAUUUGAUAUCCUAAAAUUUGUCAACUUUGUGAAAUCAAGUUUUAAAAUUUGUUGGCAUUUUUUUCAUAUUGGAUGAAGUUAAUGAAAUGACUUGAUUACAACUACUUGAUAAGUUUUAUGACUUGAUUGUAAUUUUUGAAAAUUGUAGACUCAAUUGCAUCUCUGUAAUAAGUUUUAAAACUUGAUUACGCUAUCUAAAAAUUUUAAGAUUUUCAAAAUACUUAUCCCUAAAAUAAAAGAAAAAGGGCCUACCCCCUUUACAUGAACUCUUUACUUUAAACGCACCAUGGAAUUUCCUGUCCUUUUACACAGUUUCAUUAACUAAGAAUUUUAUUUUUUUUUGGGUUAAAACCAAGAUUUAGUUCUUUUUUUUUUUUUUUUUUUUUGGGACCAGCCAAGAUUUAGUUCAAAGAUAGAUAUUUUGAGGAGAAAAAAAAAUUCAGCAAACUAGGCAAGGAUUUGCAAAAGAUCGUAACAAUAUUACCGGAAGCAUAUAAUUAUUUAUCACUGACGAAUGAUAUAGUAAAAAUUAUUUUAGUAGUUUACCUUAAGUUUAGCAAGAUCUGCUUAUUCGGUAGCCUUGAGUUUCUUCGAUUCCUUCUCUCUUGCCUUCAAACAGAUAUAGAAAUGGCAACGCAGAAUAUCAAGAUAGAUUGCCAUUGACAAAGCUGUAAAAGCCUACUCAAUCGAGCAAAACUGGGACAGUUUUUCCAGCGAUCUUGACCACCUCCGUAGCAUGCCGUGGAAAUAGAUAGGAACACAUGUAGAGGGACAAGCUGAUUAUCACUUGCUUUUAGUCAAGCAUUCGAAACUUUGAGAUUCAUGCACUAUAAGAUAGCUAGACAAGCAAAAAAAUGAUGGGCAUUUCAGUUGAGGUGUCGAGCAAUUAGAUUGAAUUCAAACCAAAUAAAGCUUGACGCAGAAAAGAGAAAUGUUGUGCAUUGAGCGAAUAUAUGACAAAAUAAGUGCAAAGAGAGUCAUUGAUGUUCUAGCGCUUUGGCCAAUUGAGUUCUUAAAAUUUUACUUUGCUUAAUCGAAUCCUCGGCAUUUUCAAUUUCAGUCAAUUGAGUCCCUCAACCUUGAUCCUCGGAAAUAGUCACAUGGCUAUGAUUUUCCAAGUUGAUAAGAAGAUGCUCGAGAAGAAAACCGGGUAGGAGGUGAAAUGGGACCUAAGUGCAAGUUUUACUAUUUCAGUAACUACAAUUGAUCUGACAGAAGGUUGAACUUUCAUGGAUCUGGCACUUCGUUUGAAGCUAUACAAACAGAAAUCAGCGGGCUCACGAAGCCAAUCUUUUAGACAGUUUCUGAAGUAUCACACAGAAAAGCACUAGGAUAUCUUUACACAUUCUCUUAUUUCCUCUAUAAACUCACAGUUAUUAGAGUAUAUUAGGCAUCAUUUAUUUGUAGUACAUUAGGUACAGAUGUCCUCUCUCUGAAAUUCCCUCUUUUCCUCUUCUUACGAUUAGCUUUGCCAGAAGAUGUUUCCAACUUCCGACAUUGAUGAUGUCAUUUCAAGGAGUUCUCAAUGUUUAUCACAAAUCGGUACUUAACAUCUCUCUUGAUGAGCCCCUCAAGGGCUUCAUUGGCAUAAUCGAUCAGUAUCACUUCGAUUUCUUGGUGUAUGUGCUGUGGCGCACAGAGGUCUAUCAUUUCUUGGAUAUACUUCAUUCCUCCAGUAGCGCUACCCAAAACUGUUUUCAUACCUGCAAAAAGUUCAUUAUGAGCAACUUAGUUCGUUCGCCUAUCAAGUAUCAAUAUUUCAUUCAGUAAUGAGCUUUGAGAACAAAAACAUACCGAGGUUAAGGCUUGCCGCACUGAAUGUAAUUUCGCUUUGGGACCCAACCAACGCUAGAACGCCACCCGUCUUCAAAAGAGACAUGUAAGGAUCAAAUAGGUGAGCAGCAGAUGCCGUGUCGAUUAUAAAAUCCAGGGACUUAGCCAUGGCCUACAUGUAUUGGAACCAUCAGAUCACGGCAGCAAUUGACCUCCAUGGAUCUAAAGUACUGAUAAUUCCAGAUCUUCCCGUUUGCCUUCAUCUGUUCUUGGUCAGAUGAGAUGACGAAAUGGUCAGCACUCAGCAAGCUCAGUGCUUCCUCCUUUUUAGAAUUGCUUGUACUAAACACAGCGACUUUCAGUCCAAAAGCCUUCCCAAGCUUAAUUGCCAUGUGACCGAGCCCACCGAGUCCAAUUAUGCCGAGAGACUUACCCGGUUGGCUCAUCUUGUGACGCACCAUUUGAGUGUAUACUGUGAUUCCAGCAUAGGGCAAUGGUGCUGCUAAAGCCAAUGGGUAGCUUUCUGGAAUCCUGAAGCAGUACCUGUCAAUGAAGCACCACAAUUAAGUUUCCAAAUCACACCAAAGGAGGAAGGGAUUUCCCAAUAGAAUUGACAUCCCAUCUUUUUUGUAUAACAGGAUUCAAAUCACAUUUUACUUGCUUAGAGCACAAUUCAACAUCAUGUGGUUUCUGUGAUUCUUUUUUUGACCACAAAUUGCUUAAGAUGAAAACUUCUUGCUGUAGCGACGAAAGUAAAGCCACUACGGCAUACAGGAGGCCAUACUCGAUCAAAAUUGAGAAAAGAGGCUUGCUCUAACAGAGGACACUAGAAGCAUAUUGCAUAUGCAUGAUAGAUCAUGUAAUUUCUCUAUUCCCCUCAAUCAUGUCUCUAAGGGACACGAUAUUCCCGUGACUGUCGGAUACAAGAAUCCGUGAAAGCACGUACAUUUUAUUACCCAUUUGAUCUAACACUUACUAUCUAACUCUUGGAAACAAUCUAAAAAAAGGGAGGAAGAGGAGACAAAAGGCAAGGAUUGAGCAAUUUCCAUCUCUUUCUCUCUUUUAAUUGAGGGUUAAUAUCCUAAACCCCCCCCCCCCCCCAAAACUAGUAUAUAUGUGAUAAAUUUACCCCGACGGACUAUAAAAAAACCCUAAACUUAUAUAUUUGUGACAAAUUUACCAAAAACUAAUUUAUUCAACCGCAAAAAACUUUAAGAUGGUAAAUUUGUAACAAAUAUACCCUCCACUAAAUUGGAUUAAUACCACAAAAAAAAUCACAAAAAUUGUAUACUGUGACAAACGAAGCAUAAAAUCUCAAAUUGGUAUACUAGUCAAUUGGCUUUUUUUUUUGGUAAAGUAUACUAGUCAAUUGUCACGUGUCAUUUAAUUUAAUAAUUUGACGGUAAAAUUUAAUGAAAACUAACAUAUGGUAAAUUUGUCACAAGUAUACCAGUUUAGAGUAAUUUGUCAAACAUAUACCAGUUUGAGGUUUUUUAGGGUAUUCACCCUUUAAUUAAUUUAGUUUUAAAUUUAAUUUUAUUAUUUUUUUAUGAAAAAUUCAUAUGUUAGAUUUAUUGGCUCACAUGUCAUUGUCACUUGAUGUGUAUGAUAUAUAGAAUAGUCCAAGAAAUUUGACUUUAGAUACUUGGGAACCCGCAAAUGGUCAUACAUUGUCGGUUACACAUUCAACAUGAUGUAUUAGCUAAUCAUAGUCCUCUAACGGUUUAUAUUUGCUUAAAAUAUUUCAAGAAUAUUCAUUUGUUAGACUUGUCCGCUCACACACCACUAUCACUUGAUGUAUAUGAUAUGUAGAAUAGUCUAAGAACUUUGACUUUAGAUACUUGGGAGUGUCUACGCUUGUUUUAUGUCUGUUAUGCUUGCAAUGCUUCUUGUUUUGAGUGGACAAUACAAAUAUUUAAGUCCGUGUCAAUUUGAACAACUUUCUUUAUUAUAGAGCAAUAGUCUUUAAUCUAUUGUGUUCUUGACCACAAAAAACCAAGUAACAAAUAAGUAUAAAUUAUUGUAGGGUCCAACGACAAUCUUUAAUCUAUUAUGUUCUUGACCACAAAAAACCAAAUAAUAAAUAAGUAUACAUUAUUAUAGGGCUCACUCCUUUAAAAAUUUGUUGCUCACAACAACUUAUUUAUUCUCAUAAUAACCCAAAGUUAUACUAGCAAAGCUCUUUUGAGUAAGUGUAUUGAAAGUUUUAAAAACUUGUCACUAAAGUGUAUUGAGUCCUAAAACUUUCAAAAUAUGCAAUUUAAUCCUAAAAUUUGUCACGAAAUGCAAUUGAGUCUUAAAAUUUUCAAAAUGUACAAUCAAUUAUAAAGAUUUAUCAAAAUUGGUCCAAUUGAAGUCAUUCCAUUGAUUGCAAUUUUUGAAAGUUUUAGAGCUCAAUACGAUUUCCUAACAAGUUUUAGGACUUAAUUACACUUUUUGAAAAUUUUAAAACUUAACUAUAAUUUAUGAUAAGUUUUAGGAUUUCUAGUACACUUAUCUUCUUCUUUUUUUCACCUCAUUAAUCUUUUUAGCAACAAUGAGCUUGACAUAUCUCUGUUUUCAGGAUUUCAGUGGCUAGGGGAAACAAAGGGAUGUCCUCUAAUGAAUCAACAAUCUUCCUGCCAUGACAAUGCCAGAAGAGAGAUGAGUGCCUUACAUAGUUAUCAAAAAUGUUCAUAUUAUAAUUGGUAGGCAUUCGCUCUGCCAACGUGCAUGAACAUUUCCGGCGAUGAAACAUUCGUGAGGAGCCAGUAAAGACAUCCUAUUAUUUAAACCGGCAAAAGGAUAUCGAGCUUGCUCUAUUAGCAAGUAUAUUGUCGUCAAAUAAUCCUGAUUAAUCCGAUAUUUUCAUACAAAAAAUCGUCAUCGAGGCCAACUUAAUCCAAAAUGCCAAUGGACAGGCUUGGGUAAGCUAGUGGAUAGGUAUGCCGCUUUAUCUUAUGUCGUGUUAUCUCACGCGAGAGAUGGUGCUGCGUUCUCUUUAGAAUGCACAUGACUUGGGAUAGGAAAACCUUAGGAUCCGACAAGGAAGAAGGAAAAAAGCAAUCUAUUGUCGGGCCAAUACAAGAUCAUUUCAUGUCAAUCUCCGCAGUCUUGAGGCCAUGGAAUCUACGACAUACUUGCUCAUUCACAAGGACUGAGCAAAUAAAUAAUAAAAUAAGAGCAUAGGUCAUCAUUGAUCGUCUUCCCUUUGACUGAUUGAAUUCUAAAUAUUUUAUUUUCAAUUGAGGUUUAAAUAUUUUAUUUGAUUUAAUUGACUUCUAAACAUUUCCAAUUUUAGUCAAUCAAGUCCCUCGAAUAUUAUCCUCGGAAAGAGCCACAUGGCUGUGAUUUUCCAAGUGGCUAAGGAGAUGCUUGAGGAGAACCUGUAGGAGAGGCGAAGCCAUUCAAGCAGAACUCUCAAGAAGCCAAUUUUUCAGACAGUUUCUCAAUCAUCACAUAGAAAAGUACCAGGAUUUCAUUACCCACUUCACUUAUUUCUGCUAUAAAACUCACGAGUAUCAAAGUAUAUCAGGCAUAGUUUAUUUGUACUCCAGCAGAGCAAUUAAAAAGGCACAGAUGAUGCUCUCCUCUAGCAGAAACUCCCACUUUUCCUCUGUGUGAUCAGCUUUGCCAGCAACAAUUUCCAACAACCCAAAUUGAUGUUGAAAUUUAAUCAAAUAGACUCAGAGAAGAAAACACACAAGAGAAUUGUUGCUGUAACUUUCGUUACUUUAUUCAUCGGAACAUAAGCCUAUUAAAUAGGCAGAACAUCCAAACCACUUAGCAAGAAAAUAGCUAUAGAACAACAACAACAAAGACCCACUAACAUACCCCACUAACCAGAACAUAUGCAGAAACUAACUCCUAAAAACAGGCCACUUCCUAUUGACUAGGACUCCACUAUUACAUUAUUGAAGACACGUAAAAACUGAAAGUUAACUACUUCAACAAUUGAUGGUGUCACUUCAAGGAGUUCUCAAUGUCGAUCACGAAUCGAUACUUAACAUCUCUCUUGAUGAGCCUCUCCAGAGCUUCGUUGGCAUAAUCAAUUGGUAUCACUUCGAUGUUUGGGUAUAUCUUCUGCGCCGCACACAGGUCUAUCAUUUCUUGGGUAUCCUUUGUUCCUCCCGUUACGCUACCCGUAACAGUUCUCAUAUCUGCCAAAAGUUCACCGCGAGCAACUUAGUUCACCUAUCAGGUAUGAAAUUUCAUCUAGUAAUCAGAUUUGAGAACAAAAACAUACUGAGGUUAAGGCUGGCUGGACUGAAUUUAACUUCGCUCGGGAAGCCGACCAAUGCUAGAAUGCCACCCGUCUUCAAAAGAGACAUGUAAGGAUCAAACGGGUGAUCACCGGCUGCCGUGUCGAUUAUAAAGUCCAGGGACUUAGCAAUGGCCU